UGCAGUUGAUAGUAAUGUGCUAAUUCGAUAGAUUUAAAGCGUGUAGAGAGAAAAUCCCAUGCAUCAAACUGUGCAUGUAUAGCAUGAAUAGAAGUGUUACCAAGCCAGGUGAUAAUUUGAUGAUUCUUCAUGUAUAGCAUGAAUAGAAGUGUUACCAAGCCAGGUGAUAAUUUGAUGAUUCUUACUGUCCCAAUCUUCAAGGCGUUCAAUGAAUUUGCUAUCUUCUUCCUUGUCUUUGUCUUGUUUAGUUGGUUUAGUUAUGUCGCCGGUUACAAUGCGCCAUAGUUUUCGCCUAAUUAGAAAAAAUUUCAUUUGGUUUGCCCAAGUGAUAUAAUUUGUUCCAUCAAGUAUUGUGCUAAUGGGUCUGAUAAUGUGGUCUCUCUCCAUUGAAUCUGAAAAAGAAUUCUACUUGUAAGAGUAACUGAGUAUGCAGUACUGUAACGUGGGCGAAUCGGGUCUUAAGUCUUGAGUUGCGAACUGAUGUGAAUGAAGACAGAACUUGAAUCAGAUCUGCGAACGGACACGGAUGAAAACGGACGUGAAUCGGAGCUGAGAGUGAAUCGGACGAGAUCGGAGUUGAUUAUCGAACGAAAUCGGAGCUGGGUUCGUCGGAUCUGGGUUCGUCCGAUCUGCAGGAGACCAACGCGUGGAUCUUUGGACGGGGACGAACGCGUCUGAUCUGGUUAUCGGACGAAAUCGGAGUUGCGAACUGAUGCGGGCGAAGGCUGACGCGCAAUCGUCUGGGUUCGUCAGAUCUGGGUUCGUUUGAUCUGCAGGAGACCGACGCGUGGAUUUUUGGACGGAGGCGAUCGCGUCAGAUCUGAUUUACAGACAGAUCAAUGGCGAAUGUAAUGUUGAACGGAUCUGGAGAUGCUUCUCAACAGAGAUGGCUUCACGGCGGCGAUGGCAGAGAUGGCUUCACGGCGGAGGCUGUGGCUAUGCAGUAACCCUAGGUUAAAGGCUUGAUACCAUGUUACUUUACUAUUAUUUUAUUGAUUGAAUUGAUAUGUUUUACAUUGGUGUGACUAAAUAAAUAAGAGACCUAUAUAACCUAAAUAAGGUAACAUAUGUAAUUAAGCCUAUAACGAAGAAGUUAGGUUAAUAGUUUUUAUUUUUUUGAAAAUACAACUAAGAACCCUAACAUCUCCAAACACCCAUCUCGGGCCCAACAAGGUUAGAAAGUCAGGUUGGGAAAACAUAAGUCCAUGAAGAACACAGCAAAGCUGAAAGAGAUCAGAAGUACUUAUUUUGGCAACACUGCAAAUUUGAAAAUUAGUAUAAAACAAAGAUAAUGAGGAAGAAAGACGUGGCCACCUGACACGACUAAGCACGAUCAGACACAGAAGAAUCUUCUCCUCUUCAUUCUUUAUUCUUCCUUCUUCCUUCUUCAUUCUUCGUACGGUUACUUAAACGUGCACCCAUUUUCCCUCUCUACAUCCAAAUAAAACUCUCAAUUCACGAUUCAUGAUCACCCUCAUCACAAACAUUCCCCUUUUUUCUUCCUUCUUCUCCAGUAAUGGCCAUUUCUUUCCUCCACCGCUUCUCUCUCGAUCCCCAGCACUGCCGCUCCGCCGCUAAGUGGACAGCGCUAUUAACGCUAACCGCCGCCGUGACCUCCUUCGCUCCGGAGUUCAUUUUCACAAAUGCAACGUCGCUCCAUUCGUCCUUCUCCAGAUCGUGUGGCCGCGAUGGCUACAUCAGGAUCCCACUCGACCUUCCCGGCGAUGUUCUGUGCUUGCCGGCGAACAUGGUGAAUUGGUCCAGUUUUGAUUUCUUUGUACCUACGGUUUUUGCGGCUCUCGGAGUCGGCGUUUCGGCUUGUUUCGUUAGAUCCUUGGGAUUGUGAGAAGAAUCGUUAUAGAUAGCAAAUUUUAAGAUAAAAAAAGAAAUUAAAAUCAUAAGAAUUGUUUAUACUUGAUAAACUUCUUAAUCAACUAUUUUACUAAAUCUCUAAUAAUUGAAUUUAAAAAAAUAAUUAUUUGAGAUUUAGUUAGUAUUUCUUUUUUCAAUACUAUGUAUCUUUUACCUAUUUAGAUUUGUUCAAUUGAGAUGAAGUCAUGAGGUGUGAAUAUAUACGAGCUCCUCUUUGAUGCAAAUUUGUUUAUGUAUUUGUACCCUUUAUUCUCUAUAACUCUGUUUGAUUCAUCAAAAAAUUAAAUCAAACGAGAUCAGUCCGAUUGUAACCUCGUUGGAUCUUCAUAGGAGGAAACUUUUUCGGGAAUUGUAUGAGAUGGAAAAAUUAUUUUAUCACCCGGUUGGGUAAUUAGCAAAACUUGUACGGAAUACGUUUUUUAGCAAAAUAUUGACAGGUGACGUUUUAGUAAUUUCUAUUUUGCCUUCAAUUUAUGGUAUUUCUAGUAUUUUGCAAAUUAGUUUAUUGAAUUUUAUUCCAACUAAAUGUGAGAAAAUUGUAACAAAAUCUCUUCUUGUAUCCAUAUCCUUUAAUAUCUUCAAUUAGUAGUAUUACAUCAUAACUGAAACGGUAUUUAUAUAUUUAUUUACUAAUAUUUCAAAAUUAUAUAUUUAACUAAUUUAUAAUAUCUAUUUUUAGAAAUAUUUCAAAAUAUAUAGUUUUCAGCAAUUAUCAAAAAUAGCAAAUUUAACCAAAUAUUUACAAUAUAUAUACCAAAAAUAGUGAUAGGAGUCUAGUAGUGUCUAUAAAAUUCAAAUUUUUGCUAUAGCCUGUAAAUAUUUUAAUUUAUUUUGCUAUUUUAAAAAAUGCCUCUAGUUUUAAUAAUUUUUCAAAAUAUAGAUGUCACACCCUAAACGACAAUAUGAUCAAAUCUGAAGUAAAGGGAAUACGAUUCGAUUUAGUUACAACCUUGAAAUUCUCUUACCGACUAAUUUAACCUGUGGCCUAACGAACACCAAGGACAUUAUUGACAUUCUUAAUAAGAAAAACGCACAAGAGUUUUCUCAUCUCGCCGUAAAACCUUCCACUUACUUGUAACACCCCAAAAAUAAGGCAAUUUUAAACUGAUUAUCUUGGUUAAAUUGUUAAUGUUUGAAUUAUUUGGGGUGGAUUGAGAUUUUGGGUGAGGAAUAUCUUUUCCGUGGAGAUUGCGAUUAAUUAAAUAUUUAUGAAAAUAAUGUUUAAUUAAUUAUUGAAAUUGAAAAUUUAGUAUAACAACCCAACUUUUAUACUUAAGUUGAGGUAAUUACCAUUCAAAUAAAUAUAGUAUUUUUAUUUAGAUUAAAAGAAAACAUUUCAAAGAUUCAUUUAAAAUUUAUAAUAAAGUAUAAAAAGAAAAGCAUAAGUAAAUAUAAUACUAAAUAAACACUAGUUCGAGCCCUAUUCAAAAUAAAAGGAAAUAUUUAAAAGUAUUCGUGAGUUACGAAAAUAAAACAUAAAUUAUUGAUGAAAACUUAAACUCUUCCUUAGGAACCAAUAUCACUUAUUGUCAUUCGCCAGUUUGCUUUUACCUCUACCAAAAAUUAAACAUUUAAAAUAAUUAGUAUAAAUUUAGGCACUUCCAUUCUUUGAGGAUUUGAUUAAUUAGAUUUUUCUUUAUAAUUAGGGUUUGAUUAGUCUUUGAUUUUCAUGUAAUUUUUGUUAGAACAAUCAAUAAAUUGCAUCAAGAGUUCGAUGUUUAAUUCAAUUUUAUUGAAUUUUUUGAUUUUUUUUGUUCAAUAUUGGAAGCAAUUUACCCAUAGUAUUUCAAUUAAUGCAAGAUUAGUUGUUUUACUUGCUUAUAUACAAAAUUUCCAUCUUUCUUCAUUUUAUCUCUCCCAAUUUUAGAAUUACACAUAAUGACUCUUUUGGAUUUCAAAUUUUUUUGGGAUAAUUCUUGGGAUUAAAUUGCAUUUUUUUGUGCACAAAUUAAUUUCUCUUUGAUUUCUUGAAUUGAAUAUAAAGUUGUUGAUGAUCCAUCUUGUGUUUUCUUUUAAAGAAAAUAAUAAUGAGUUUAAUUAGAAUUGCAACAAUCAAACUAAAUCCUUUGAAAUUCUUUACUUGAUUUUUAAUUUUGAUUCAAGAGUUCCUUCCAAGAUCAAGCAAUCUUGAUCCUGGAAGGAACUCUUGAAUCAAAAUCUAUUUGAGGCCAUGCAUAAUUCAAUUUCCUUACUCCUAAAACUCCCUGCAUUGAACUCAAAGUUGAAAUAUUGAAUGUGUUUAACAUAUUAGUUGUGGCAUCAGUGAGAAUCCACACAUAUCCUUCGCUCAUCAUUCCCAGCUCGUUGGCUAUGCAUGCCAAAAACUCAAGUUCCCAAACUCUGCUCCACGUGGACUACAAAAACUCUCGUUUGCAUCAUCCCCGAUCUCUUAAGCUCUUCUUUGAUAUGAUUACUAGAUGUUGUAGUGUCGAUGAUAUUCCGGUUAACACGAACUUUUAUGUCCUACAAUAAGAUCAUAUAUAAGUAAUUAGAUAAUAUAGGAUUCUAUACAUUUUAUUUGGUAAUGAAAAGAGUAAUCCAUAUAUCUUAAACACAUUAAAACUAUUUUUUUCAAUAAAAAGGGGAUAAUUUUAUGUGGUUAUUGUAUUGCAUCCUUGAAUAGACACAUGAAAGAUUGUGUCGAAAAAACAACACAAGAGAGGCGAAUUUGUCUCUUGGAGAAACACACAUUCAUUUAAAGAUGGUUUUUCAAAAGAGAAGCAAUCAUUAAAACAUUCAUUCAAGUUUUAAUGGAUUUGUCUCUUGGGUAUAGGGGGCAUAAUCUUACUAAGAGUUGGUCAAUCUAUAUCUAUUAUGGCCAACCUUAAAAAAGAAUGAAUGUAUUUCUCUAGAAAUUAAGUUCAAGCAAACGUUUGUUUGCAACCAUUUCAAAUUAAAGCUACACACUUUAUUAGCUUUUUGUGUUUUAAAGAAUGGAUUGUUGAUUGAGCACUUAGUCCUUGUAUAUAUAUGGUGUGUAUAUUACAUGUUCCUUUCUCUUAUUUGCACCUACAUGCAAAGAGUCAAUGAGAUUUGCAACGAUCCAUUUUCCAAACUUAUUGUCUUCGUAGACGGCAAUGAUUUCCCUCAACCCGAAAACUUUAAGGAUGUCACUAAUGGCGUAAACCUGGGAGGAGAGAUUUUGGGUGACUCGGAAAAAGUAUGAAAAUUUGAGAUAAGAGAGAGUGGAAAUUUUUGGUGCAAAUGAAAUUAUAGGGACCUCAGCUUUGUCACCAAGCUGCACAAUGAAGUAUGCUUGUGAUGAACUUUCUGGUCCUAAAAUGGCUUCUACCUUGCUAUCAUGUAUUAGUUCCAUGGUUGUUUAAUUAUUGAAAGCAGUUGUUAAGCUUAAAUUCCAUUUUCGAAGAAAACAAACAAGACAUUAUUUUAUUUAAACCUUUAGUUUAUGUGCACUCUUAUAUCAUAUUUUAGUUUUAGUCAAUUCUUGAUUUUAUUCCAAUCCAAAUUAGCUCACGUAUCUUAUGAAAAAAAAAAGUGAGAUGAUCACUUGACAUUUUUUCAAUGUGGAAUUCUCGACUAAAGGGAUUCAAAUCCCUUAACCUUGUUUUUUUAAACGUUUUGAACUGAUAAAAAAUAAUAAUAAAUAUUAAAACAAACCUGCUGUAGCUACACCAAAAUUAGUUCGUUCCAUUGGAGUCCAUGGGAUUGAGAAUCAAUUUGGUCUUAUAAUAAUUUUGAUUGGCAUAAAAAUCAGAGAGCGUCAUAUUAAUGCAACUCAAACCCAUCUUCCCAACAACAUCAUUCAAAUCCAAAACCACACCCACCUUCAAGUUUACCGCCGCAACCGUUUUGUCCGCCUCUGCUGCCACUACCGACAGUACUAAUAUGUUAAGGAAGAGUGCACCGAUCUUCAACAUUUCAAAACCCAUGCCUUCCCUCAUUAUUGUUUGGUACUUUCUAUAUAUUUACCCCAACGUUCAGCUUUAUUAAUGGCUAGACCAUGCGCGUAUUCAUGUAGCUGGCUUACAAGACGUGGGAGGAACAAACUGGUUAAGUAUUACGUACGCUCAUUCCAAUUAAUUAUAUGAUCAUUAGUGUAAAUAUAUAUAAUACAUAUUGAUCAAAUAUUUAAAAAUGAGUGAGUCAUGAUAUGAUUAACUAGGAGAUUAGUGUGUUAACUCUCACACCCCCUCAGAUUAUCCUACCUAAAACUUAGGGUGAGUUAUUGACAAAUGAGGAGAAACUUUGAAGAGAUAAAGUAUUAACAAAAAUUGCUUAAUCUUGUGUAUUUUCUUUCUCAACUUGCUUCCAUCAAAGGUUACAAUAUCACUAUAUAUGGUGUCUCUCUAAAUUUCUUCAAUAAAUCACUAAUAAAAGUAAAAUUAAAGAGAACAAAAUAAUUAAGAUAGAAUUUCAAAGGAUGUAGUAAUUCUUGACCUUUCGUUAUUAUAACUGUCAUAACUUUUUUUUAGAUAACUUCAAAUGACUUGUAACUUGAACCAUUAGAAAGUACACAUUCGAGACAUCAAAAUCUAUAAGUCAUAUAUUUAAUUUGAAUGUCGUUUAAUCUCUCAAAUACCUUUUGAAAAACUGACACAGUUUGAGUUUAAUGCUCAACAGUUAUGACGACAAUAGACCUCGAUCAUGCAGUGGGGCUUACAGUCAAAAUUCUUUCUGAUCAACAAAUUUUCGCUGAAACUCAAGAGCAACCUAGUGGAAAAAAUAAAUUUAAAAUGUUGAACGAAUAAUUUAUAGGAAAAUAAUUUGAGGAGGCUGUGAUUCUAUACUAAAGUAUAGAAAUUCAAGUUCUAAUAAGAAAUUAAAAAACUUGGGAAAGUUAUUAUUACUAGAGAAUAUCAUAAGCAUUAUCUUGCAACUUGAUCAGAAAUUAGCAUAACUUUGGAGGCAUAUAUUCAUAAUUAAUGAUAUUGGUUUUGUAGGAUGAUGGAGCUAUGAUUGAGAUGCUAUAAUUGAAGUGAUUGACUUUGUUGUAAGUCAUAUAUUUUUCUGUUUCAAGUCAAAUACAUAUAUUGGGGUUUUAUAUAUUCAGUGUGUGAAUAAAUACAAGCUAUCUAUAAUUUAAUAAUUAAUUACUUAUUUUGGGUAGGAAUGGAAACACAUUUUCUCAAAAAUAUUUUAUAUAGUUAAUAAAUCCUGCUUAAACAUGAUUUUACAUUAAAAUCUUGAUUAAUACUUUUCGAAAAUAAUUUUUAUUUUGUCCAAAUAUAUAUAUUUUUUAUUUUCCUCAUUUCAUUAAAUAAAUUUAUUAAAAUAAACUUAUUAAAAAUUAUUUUAAUAAUAUAAACCUAUUAAAAAUUUCAUUUCAUUCUUUUCUCUUUUCAUCUUUCCCUUUCUCUCCAAACCCUCUCCAAAAAUAACUAAAAAAAAGAACUUGGAUUUGAUUGGCCAGUACGUAAAGAAUAUUAAAGGCUACCCGAGAAGGAAGAAGGCGGGAAAAGGAGGAAAGAAAAAUUUUAUAGGUAGCUAUAUUUUAUUUAUCUUUGCCUCUAUUCUCUUCUAGUAUUUUUUGCUUCAAGUAUAAUAUUCUCAUUAUUUGAGGUGAUAAGUCACUUAAAUAACUGAACAAACAUAUAUUUUAAUUCGAUAAAGAAAACCAAAAUUACUUGAAAUUAAAAAAUAUAUAUAUAUAUAUAUAUAUAUAUAUAUAUAUAUGUUGAAUCGGUAUGGCAACCCUAGAGGGGGUGAAUAGAGUUUAAAUAAACUUUUUGACAAAUAAAAAGUAAAAUCAAUUAAUUAGAUACUUUUUAAAUUUAAAUAAAGAAUUUUGUAAACUUUGUUAAAUAACAAGAUUGAUAAAAAUAUAUGAAUGGAAGUAUGCAAUCAAACUCAACCAAUAAGAAUAUGUAACUAAAAUUAAAUUAAAAAAUAAUUAGAAAAAAGUUAGAGAAGAAGACACCGUAAUUUUAUAGUGGUUCGGUUAAACUCAACCUACAUCCACUUUCCCAAGCACCUCUUGGGAUUUUGAUUGAAAAUUUCUUUGGACUCUUUCCACGGAUUUGAGCCGAACCGAUUCUUGCUCAUUUUUCGGGUUCAAGAGUAAACCCGAUUCUUUCCACGGGUUAGGAUCCAACCGUUACUAUAUGUUGAAGUUUUUAAAUCACACAAAAGAAAACUCUCUAAAAGAGUGAGUAUAGAAUUUGAAGCUCACAAAUUUAAUCCUCACAAUACAAUAAGAAGCUCUCAAGAAUAAGAUGAAAAGAAUAAAAAUUGGAAGCUUUAGAGAGAAUAACAAUGUUGGCUUUUUGCUUGAGGAUUGUAAAUAUUUAAUGAUCUUGUCUUUUAAAAUUUGGAAAAAGUGAAGUAUUUAAAAAAAGAGAAAAGAUAAAUUCAAAAUCAUUUUGGAUCAUUAGAUAUAAGUUAAAGAAAAAUGAAUGGUUGAGAUUUAAACUUAAUUAGCCGUUAGACACAAUACAAAUAAUAAUAUAAUAAUAUGUCUUUUCAAAAUAUUUUGUUUAAAAAGAAACCAAUAAAGCAACUUCACUAUCUUCUAAAAAAACUAGCCGUUAGACACAAGGAAAAAUAAUAAUAUUAAAGUCAUUUUCUUUAUAAAAGUCAAUAAAACAUAACAAAAAGCCACAUUUGUUACUCCUUCAUUGCUCCAAGUGACUUUGUCUAAUUGGUUCAAAUUGAAUGCUUGGUCGCCAUGUCACCAUCUCGGGUAUUUUUCGUUAAGCUUCUUUUAGCAAUAUUUUCUUCAUUUUAACUUCGAUUUGGGUGAUUCAAGAGGCGUUAGAAUCAUUUUUCCAAGCUCUACGAUAUGAUCUAGUCAAAUUAAUAAAAUUAUCAAUAAAAAAAAUCAGAUUUGUUAUCAUCAAAACAUAAAUUAAUUGAAUAAUUAAAAUAAAUUAAUUUGAGAUUAAGGGCCAAAAAGCCAACAAUAUAUUGUACCCAAAAACAUACCCUCUCAUCCCAAGUCACCAUUUUGGAAAUCCAUUCAUUUGAAAAUCCUCACCCCAAUUGAAACCCCCUCACACACCGAAACCCUCUGUCGCCGGCCGUCCACCUCUCCGUCCACUUGCUUCCAUUGUCGUCGACGACGUCUACCCACCCCAAAGAACCCCACGCGCGAAGUCAAUCUUUUGGAAACCCCGGCCCAUCCGUUCGAAACACUCACCUUCAUUCGAAACCCCCCCACACACCGAAACCCCUUUGUUGCCGGCCGUCCGCAACUCCGACCGCUUGCUUCCAUUGUCGUCGAUGACGUCUACCCACCCUAAAGAACCCCCACGCACGAAGUCAAUCUUUUGGAAACCCCGACCCAUCCAUUCGAAACGCUCACCUCCAUUCGAAAAAACUCAUUCGAAACCCCCCACACACACCGAAACCCUCUGCUGCCAGACAUCCACAACUCCGACCGUUUGCUGCCAUUGUCGUCGACGACGUCUGCCCACCCCAAAGGACGAGCCGCACGCGAAGUUAAUCUUUUGGAAACCCCUGCCCAUUCGUUCGAAACGCUCACCUCCAUUCAAAAAAAUCUAUUCGAAACCCCCCACAUUCAUCGUUCAUCGUCGGAACCCGAAGAUGCUGUCUCAUAAGACUUUUAGAAUGAAGAAGAAGCUCGCGAAGAAGAAGAGGCAGAAUAGGCCGACCUCGAACUGGAUCCGCCUGAGAACUGACAACACGAUCGAUACAAGGCAAAGUGCGCAACGUCGCACAAAGCUAGGGUUCUAAGGUGCUUUCGAUUCCUAACUUCAAUUGUCAUUUACCUUGAUUUUGUUAAGUUUCAGAAACUUGAAUUUUCUUAAGGAUCUACAUUUGUAUUUCCGCCACUACUGAAAUAAUUUAGUUUAUUGGAUACUUUUGUUUAAUCAUCUUUACACUCAAGAUUGAAGCACUUUGGAAUAGAGUGAAUUUACCAUGAAAAAUACUGAUAGGUGACUUUUAUUUCAAAGGAUAAGAUAUCAUCUUUAAAACUUUAACAUUUCUAGUCCAUUUGAAAAACAUAGGUUCUGGCCAUUGAUUUGGAAUUUUAGAUUGAGAGACAAAAGUUUCAUUCAUAGAUUAUGAUGAAGAAGAGGUUUUCUUGCCAUGAAUGUUGGUUCUUAAUGUUUCAUGUGUUUAAUUUUUUAGUUCAUGUUAAGUUUAGUCCUGUUUUAUCUUGUUUCUCAUUGUAUUUGCACUAUUUUAUAACUUUUUCAAAUUCCCUAUCAUGAGAGAGUUGACUCAUAUAUUAUUUUGUUCGAAACUUAGAAUCUUACUAUAUUCUUUGGGUGAAAUAGUUUACAAUAAUGGGUUUUUUCUAGGAACUUUAACUUAUUAAGUAUGUAAAGUUUGGUAGAAAUUAAAGCAAGUAGGUUAACCAUACAUCAAUUAUACAUUUUCUUGUUUGAGCAAUCGUGAUUUUUCUUUCUUUGUUCACAGUAACCUUCAAAUGUUAUGCUCUGUUUUCUCAAGUGAUUUUGGAUGCCAUAUUUAGACACGUUUCUAAGAUAAAUAGAUGAAUUAAAUUCAUUGUGGAUUUAAAGUAGUGAACAUAUAACCUGAAUUUAUAGGAUGGGGAUUCAUGGCUUUUUCCUCACUGUUUUUUUUCUGUCUUUGAUUGGUUUCUCUAUCAAAUUAUUAGGUGUUUAUUAUUUACAGGUGAGAUAGGAGCUUUUAGUUAUUUUUCAGUUCUAGGCUCAAGUUGGAUUCUGUCAAAGGAGUUUAUUAUUUACAGGUGAGAUAUGAGGUUUUGUAUGUCUAAACCAUGUCUUAAUGGAGAAAAAGAAAGAAUUCAUACCAAACCCUUCCACCAAGACCAUAGAGUUUCGUUGAAGAGACAUAAUACAUAACCAUCAGUCUAAAGCUACAACACUCAAGAGACAGAAUAGUUGAAUUGAAAUGUUCAUUAGGUUAGAAAUGCCAACAAAGUUAAAUGGUAUAUGAGAUGUGUUAAAUUCGUGAUCGGCUCAAAGUAAGUUCAUCAACAAUACAUAAUCUUUUCUUCUUCCUGUAUUCUUAUUACAGUUUCUUUUUAAUUUAUCAGUAUUUUUGUGCUUACUAGUGGUGAGUAGAUCUUAUACAUCUUUGAUUGGUAUUUCUAAGUGUUGUACUUUCGUACUUUUAAAAUAUUUCAUUUGGAUGUCAUAUACCUCUAAGCCUAAACUCUACAAUGACAAUGGAAGCUAUUAGGCUGUGUAGUAGGUGAUAAAUUUCAGGUUUCUCUUAGGGUGGAGUUAGAAGAGAAUCUGGAUGUUUUGUACACAAAAAAGGAGAGAGGGAAUAUAAAUGAUGAUUGAUCCCAUAAGCAAAUAAUGUGUUGUUUUGUUAAGGAGUCAAAGGGGAUUUAGAUGAAUGAGAAGGACAGGUUGGAAGGAGAGAUUAAAUUUAUGAAAUUUACGGACCAAGUUACCGUUGGGGGGGGGGGGGGGAUUACGUUGAACAAAAACAAUGGUUUGUCCAAUUAAAAAUUUCCAUUACUUUUAUGGUACCCUUAUUAUCACCAUUCGUCUCUUUUUCUAUCACAAGAGAUCCCUUCCUUGCCUUGCCUUUAUCCAAAUUAUUGUCUAUUUCUUGUAGCCAGUGAGUCCAUCUAGCUUUGCUUAAAAAUAUUAAUUACCCAAACUUUAACUACGCCCUAAUAAUGCCUUUUUUUUUUUUUUUUUCAUUUAACGUUUAAAAUCUCUGUGUUGGUAUAACGUACCACAACUUGUAUUGCUACAUCUUAUUUACUUUAAAUACAUGUCUUACGAGAUAACAUCUUAUUUCAUGAAUAUACGCACUUACAUUCUCACUUAGCUUGACUCUCUUUUUCAUAUUUCAAACUCACAAGUGAGAAAAAGUGUUGGAUAUUAUGUUAAAUUUACUCUCUUAUCCAUUAGCUUAAGCUUCUAUAUAUAUUGGUGCUUUCUUGAUACACUCAAAUAUGUUUCUCUCUUUUAUCACUUGUUUUCUCGACUGAUAUGCAUCAUAAGACCUUUUACAUGUCUUCAUCAACAUGAUACCUAAAAUACAAAGUUCAGCCUCUUUUUUGCCACUUCAUGGCAUGAGUAUCCCGGCCCAUUAGUCAUUUUUCUUGAAAACUUAAACCAGGUUAUGGAGGGCAUAUUUGAGAGUGUUUUUAGAACCUAGUUAACAAAAUUGAUUUUUAUUAAUAAAUGUUUUGUUAAAAGUGAUUUUCAUGCCAUAUUAACGUUUGUUUGUGUCUAUACUUUUAAAAGUGAUGUUGUAAUGUAGAAAGUAAUUUCCAAUGACUCAAAAACAUGUUUGGAACUUAACAGAGGUAGGAAAAAUUCAAAUGGAAAAAUAGACAUUGUAUGUUUGCUUGUCUGAUUCUUACUUGUUUUCUUUUAUUUAUUCUUUUGAAAAUUUGAUGAGAUAUGAGAUUAGUUUGUUGUUGAUUGUUCUAUGAUUAUGGUUUUGAUCUUAACUAUUUUUUUCUUUUUGUCUUUGGUUUUUUGUGUUGCUUUUGAUUCUAUAUGUUCUUAAUUUUAACGUUUUGUGUCUUUGUCGGGGGUGGAGAUUAGAGAUGCUUGUGUUAUGAAGAAGAUAAUGGAAGAAUUUUUUAUUUGGGUUAUGUGAGAUUGUUUUGAGUUUCAUUUUGCAUUUGUUGGAAUGAAAAGAAAAAUUACUCUGUUAUCUGUGCUUAGUUAAGUCUUAGUUAAGUCUACCUUGAUAUUUCUCAUAACACGACCCGUGACUAUCUUUUGAGCUAAUAGGAUCAGGCUUACUUAAGUCUACCUUCACAUUUCAAUUUAAUGAUUUAUUAUGUUUGAUUUUUCGUGAAUUUGUAUAACUUAAUGAUCUAUUUUGUUUCUUGCUUAUCAAAUAAUGGGAAUUACGAGGAGAUUUGUUUAACAUUUUAUGAGAAUGCUGCUGCAUUAAAGAUUUGAUUUUAUUGCUAAGUGUCUUCGUGAGAUUAUGUCUUUCGGUAGUGUUAAAAGAGCUGUUGUUUCUAAUUUUGGUUCAUUUCUUGUUAUAAGAGAUUGGUUUAAGACAUGGAAUAAAUGUAGUUCAUUUCAAGGUAAUAAUGUUGCAAAACUUUCUAAUAUUCCUUUACACAACCAUGUUUCCUUGUAUUCAGUCACCUUUAUUUUCUUGUGGCAGGCUACAUUAAGAUAUAUCAAGAUUGGAGACCAAAGUUGGGAGGCUAAAGUCGGUAGUCCGAGCGAAAGAUAGGGAGAUUUAAAGACAUUGACCAGUCAAUGCAGGUUUGCAACAAUUUUGUGAUUGUCUAUGUUUUAAGUUUACUCAAUUUUUAUCCAAUAAAUUUUGGAAGGGGUGGUGGGCAUGCAAUAAAAUUAGUUUACAGAAUGCAUCUAUUUAGUAUGGUGGAUUUUAUGAUAUUGAAGUUUUUUGCCAUUCUUUUAUUGAAUUAUUUUUGUGAAUUUUAAUUGUUGAAGUUCAUUGAUUUAUUACUUUAUUUGAUAGACAAAAAACCCCUAAAUUUUGAUUAGACAUGGUUUGAGUGAUUUGUUUUCUUAAGAUUCAUCCCUUCCAUUUUGUUUAGUUAAUUAUUCCUUGUUUGGUACAAUUAAUUUUGAAACCUUUUUAAAUUAUUUAAUUGUUUUUGUUUUUAUUUUUUUACAUGAAGAGCUUUUGUGAUCAAAAUCUUUUAACUUUGUUUUAUCGAUGAAUGAAUGAGAAUAGAGGAAGACCAUAGUAGUUCGCAAACUAAGUGAAACGACACGUUCUAACACUAUUCAUGCAUUGUUGAUACCACAAACUGACAAACAUUAGAUUUUCUUAUAAUGGACUUGAGAUGUGUGGCAUCUUUUAGAAACAUUGCAAUUUUUCAAUCUGAUAUGCAAGCAUGACUGGUAUUUUUGAAUCUCAUUAGUUUAUUACUCUUCUGGAUGUUUAUGAUGGUAGUUUGUGUUUACUCCAUUUAUUUCAUUUAUUUUCAUAAUAUUUGUACAAGUUAUAUUUUGUUUCUUCCUUAUUAAACAUAAUUGAUUUUCUUUCUUCAACUUGGCUUGCACAAGCUUGAGAUACUUAAGGCCAUGAUAUGUCAUGUUUCUACUUUUGUAGACAUCAAUGAUUAAUCAACCAUAAUUAGGGAGAACAAUUCUUUACCCAUAUUGUAGGCUGAGGGUCAAAUAAAGCUUCAUAGUAGAGUAGAUUUUGAAUUUUGAACAAGCGUGUGGUAGUGAUAACUUGUAAGUAAAACCCUAAACUUGUCGAUGCAAAACUUGUAAGUGUUAAGUAAUGUGACUAUACUUGACAGUCGAUUACUUGACGUUUUUAAAAACGUUCAGUAUACGUUUACUUGAUAUUGUAUUAACGUCAAGUAAACCCAUUUUUUUAGUAGAGUGGAGACAAAAAGAGACAAAUACAAAGAGUUUAAGUGUGCAUAAAGCACUAGAUAUGUUAGCAAUUACACAUUAAAAACAAUUACACAUUCUAUGGGAAUAUGUAGUUACACACAUCUCAACUGUAAAUGGUCUAAGGAACACCCAAGCACUUGAUUUUGAAUCUUCAAUGGGUGCAACUAUGAUCAACCCUUUAUCAAACCCUUUAAAUUUACCUAAUUGAAUUCCACUUUCAUUAGAGUCAAACACUUCACAUGUGAGUGAAAAUCUAAUGAUAUUUCCAUUUUCUUUAAGAAACUUAUCAACUGCCUUUGCAAUAAUUAAUAUUGAAUCAUAGGAAAAUAUUUAAAAUAAUGCAAGGAAAUAACAAGAACCUUAAAGAAACUACCUAACUUAGAAUAGUGUCGAAUGUCUCGAAAGUUCACAUUCAGCUACUGGGUGGUCUUGUUUUGAGUAAUGUUAGAGUUUUUUUGCCUACAAAAGUCGAACGAUGAUGCCCUAGACUUCACUUUUUAGUUCCAUCCCUAAACGCUGAAAAGGGGGCCACACUUGAUGUGGUCCCGAAAGAAACUACCCAACUUAGAACAAUGUUGAAGGUCUCGAAACUUCACAUCCAACUACUUUGUGGUCUCGUUUCGAGUAAUGUUAGAGGUUUUUUUGCCAGAAAAAUCAAACGGUGUUGCCCAAACUUCGCUUUUUAGUUCUGUCCCAAAACGUUGAAAAGGGGGCCACCAAUGCUGUGGCCCCGAAAGAAACUACCCAACUUAGAACAAUGUCGAAUGUCUCAAAAUUUCACAUCCAGCUAUUGGGUGGUCUCGUAUCGAGCAAUUGUAGAGUUUUUUUACGUACAACAGUUGAACGGUGAUGCCCUAGAUUUCAGAUUUUUGUUUGGUUCCAAAACGCUGAAAAGGGGGCCACCAAUGCUAUGACUCCGAAAGAAACUACCCAACGUAGAACAAUGUCGAAGGUCUCGAAACUUCACAUCCAACUACUUUGUGGUCUCGUUUCAAGAAAUGUUAGAGGUUUUUUUGCCAGAACGGUGAUGCCCAAACUUCGCUUUUUAGUUUCGUCCCAAAACAUUGAAAAUGGGGCUACUAAUGUUGUGACCCCGAAAGAAACUACCCAACUUAGAACAGUGUCAAAUGUCUCAAAACUUCACAUCCAGCUACUGGGUGGUCUCGUUUCAAGCAAUUGUAGAGCUUUUUUGCGUACAAAAGUCGGACGGUGAUUCCUUAGAUUUCAGAUUUUAGUUUCGUCCCAAAAUGUUGAAUAGGGGGCUACUGAUGUUUUGGCCCCGGAAGAAACUACCCAACUUAGAACAGUGUCGAAGGUCUCGAAAGUUCACAUACAGCUAUUGGGUGGUCUCGUUUCGAGUAAUGUUAGAGGUUUUUUGCAUACAAAAGUCGAACAGUGAUGCCCUAGACUUCGCUUUUUAGUUCCAUCCCUAAACGCUGAAAAAGGGGCCUCAAUUGCGGUGGCUCCGAAAGAAACUUCCCAACUUAGAACAAUGUCAAAGGUCUCGAAACUUCGCAUCCAACUACUUUGUGGUCUCGUUUCGAGUAAUGUUAGAGUAUUUUUGCCUACAAAAGUCGAACGGUGAUGCCCUAAACUUCACUUUUUAGUUCCAUCCCAAAAUGCAGAAAAGGGGGCCAUAAUUGCUGUGGCCUUGAAGGAAACUACCAGACUUAGAACAAUGUUGAAGGUCUCGAAUCUUCAUAUCCAACUACUUUAUGGUCUCGUUUCAAGUAAUGUUAGAGUUUUUUUGCCUACAAAUGUCGAAUAGUGAUGCCCAAACUUCGCUUUUUAGUUGCAUCCCAAAACGUUAAAAAUGGGGCCACCAAUAUUGUGGUCCUGAAAGAAACUAUCCAACUUAAAACAGUGUCGAAGGUCUCGAAAGUUCACAUCCAGCUAAUGAGUGGUCUCGUUUCAAGUAAUGUUAGAGUUUUUUUUUGCAUACAAAAGUCGAACAGUGAUGUCCUAGACUUCGCUUUUUAGUUCCAUCCCAAAAUGUUGAAAAUGGAGCCUCAAUUGCGGUGGUCCAAACAGAAGCUUUCCAACUUAGAACAAUGUCGAAGGUCUCGAAACUUCACAUCCAACUACUUUGUGGUCUCCUUUCGAGUAAUGUUAGAGUUUUUUUGUGAGAAAUAUCGAAUGGUGAUGCCACAACUUCGCUUUUUAAUUUCGUCCCAAAAUGCUGAAAAAGGGACCACCCACUGUGGCCCCCCGAAGAAACUGCCCAACUUAAAACAGUGUCGAAGGUCUCAAAAGUUCACAUCAAGCUACUGGGUGGUCUCGUUUCGAGUAAUGUUAGAAUUUUUUUGCAUACAAAAGUUGAAUAGUGAUGCCCUAGACUUCGCUUUUUAGUUCCAUCUCAAAAUGCUGAAAAUGGGGCCUCAAUUGCGGUGACCCCGACAGAAACUUCCCAACCUAGAAAAAUGUCGAAGGUCUCGAAACUUCACAUCCAACUACUUUGUGGUCUCAUUCUGAAUAAUGUUAGAGUUUUUUUUGCAAGAAAUGUCAAACGGUGAUGCCACAACUUCGCUUUUUAAUUUCGUCCCAAAACGCUGAAAAGGAGACUACCAAUAUUGUGGCCCCCGAAGAAACUGCCCAACUUAAAACAGUGUCGAAGGUCUCGAAAGUUCACAUUCAACUCCUCGGUGGUCUCGUUUCGAGUACUGUUAAAGUUUGUUUUGCUUGAAAAGUCGAACGGUGAUGUCCAAACUUCGCUUUUUAGUUCCGUCCCAAAACGUUGAAAACAGGGCUACCAAUGUUGUGGCCCCGAAAGAAACUACCCAACUUUGAAUAGUGUCAAAUGUCUCAAAACUUCACAUCCAGCUACUUGGUGGUCUCGUUUCGAGCAAUUGUAGAGUUUUUUUGCGUACAAAAGUCGAACGGUGGAGCCCUAGAUUUCAUAUUUCAAUUUCUUCCCGAAAUGCUGAAAAAGGGGGCCACUGAUGCUGUGGCCCUGGAAGAAACUACCCAACUUAAACAGUGUCGAAGGUCUCAAAAGUUCACAUCCAGCUACUGGGUGGUCUGGUUUCGAAUAAUGUUAGAGUUUUUUUGUAUACAAAAGUCGAACAGUGAUGCCCUAGACUUCGCUUUUUAGUUCCAUCUCAAAAUGCUGAAAAUGGGGCCUCAAUUGCGGUGACCCCGACAGAAACUUCCCAACCUAGAAAAAUGUCGAAGGUCUCGAAACUUCACAUCCAACUACUUUGUGGUCUCGUUUCGAGUAAUUUUAGAGUUUUUUUGUGAGAAACGUCGAAUGGUAAUGCCACAACUUCGCUUUUUAAUUUCAUCCCAAAACGCUGAAAAGGGGACCACCAAUGCUGUGGCCCCGGAAGAACUGCCCAACUUAAAACAGUGUCGAAGGUCUCGAAAGUUCACAUUCAACUUCUGGGUGGUUUCGUUUCGAGUACUGUUAGAGUUUUUUUUUGCUAGAAAAGUCGAACGGUGAUGCCCCAACUUCGCUUUUUAGUUCGUCCCAAAACGUUCAAAAGGGGGCCACCAAUUCUGUGGCCCUGAACGAAACUACCCAACUUAGAACAACGUCGAAUGUGUCGAAAGUUCACAUUCAGCUACUGGUGAUCUCGUUUCGACUAAUGUUAGAGUUUUUUUUCGUACAAAAGUCGAACUGUGAUUCCCUAGAUUUCAGAUUUUAGUUUCGUCCCAAAACGCUGAAAAGAGGGCCAUCAAUGUUGCGGCCUCGGAAGAAACUACCUAACUUAAACAGUGUCGAAGGUCUCGAACGUUCACAUCCAGCUCCUGGGAUGUCUCGUUUCGAGUAAUGUUAGAGUAUUUUUGUCUACAAAAGUCGAACGGUGAUGCCUUAAACUUCACUUUUUGGUUCCAUCCCAAAAUCCAAAAAAUUGUGGCCUCGAAAGAAACUACCAAACUUAGAACAGUGUUGAGGAUCUCGAAUAAUCUUCAUAUCCAACUACUUUGUGGUCUCAUUUAGAGUAAUGUUAGAGUUUUUUUGCCUACAAAAGUCGAAAGGUGAUGCCCAAACUUUGCUUUUAAUUUAGUUGCGUCCCAAAACGUUAAAAAGGGAGCCACCAAUGUUGUGGUCUCGAAAGAAACUACCCAACUUAGAAUAGUGUCGAAUGUCUCGAAAGUUCACAUCCAGCUACUGCGUGGGCUCAAUUCGAACAAUUUUAGAGUUUUUUUGCGAGCAAAAUUCGAACGGUGAUGCCCUAGAUUUUAGAUUUUAGUUUCAUCCCAAAGCACUUAAAAGGGAACCACCAAUGUUGUGGCCCUGACAACGUCAACGGUAUCAAAAGUUCACAUCCAGCUACUUUGUGGUCUCGUUUCGACUAAUGUUAGAGUUUUUUUUGCCUACAAAAGUCGAACGGAGAUGCCCUAGAUUUUGCUUUUUAGUUCCAUCCCAAAACGCUGAAAAGGGGGCAACAAUUAAUGUGGCUCGUUUUGAGUAAUGUUAGAGUUUUUUUAGUCAGAAAAGUCGAAGGAGAUGCCCAAACUUCGCUUUUUUGUUUCAUCCCAAAACAUUGAAAAGUGGGCCACCAAUGUUGUGUCCCCGAAAGAAACUACUCAACUUAGAACAGUGUCAAAUGUCUCGAAAGUUCACAUCCAGCUACUAAGUUGUCUUGUUUUGAGCAAUUUUAGAGGUUUUUUCGUAUAAAAGUCGAAUGGUGAUGCUCUAGAUUUCAGAUUUUUGUUUCGUCCUAAAACGCUGAAAAGGGGGCCACCAAUGUUGUGGCCCUGAAAGAAACUACCCAACUUAGAACAAUGUCGAAGGUCUCAAACCUUCACAUCCAACUAUUUUGUGGUCUCAUUUCGAGUAACGUUAGAUGUUUUUUUGUCAGAAAAGUCGAACGGUGAUGCCCAAACUUCACUUUUUAGUUUCGUCCCAAAACGUUGAAAAGGGGGCCACCAAUGUUGUGGCCCCGAAAGAAACUACCCAACUUACAACAGUGUCGAAUGUCUCGAAAACUCACAUCCAACAACUGGGUGGUCUCGUUUUGAGCAAUUUUAGAGUUUUUUUGCGUACAAAAUUUGUACAGUGAUGCCCUAGAUUUCAGAUUUUAGUUUCGUCCCAAAACGCUGAAAAUGAGGCCACAAUUGUUGUGGCCUCGAAAGAAACUAUCCAACUUAGAACAAUGUAGAAGGUCUCGAAACUUCAUAAGCAACUACUUUAUGGUCUCGCUCGAGUAAUCUUAGAGUUCUUUUUGCAAGAAAAGUCGAAAAGUCGAAUGUUCGAGUUCAGAAGCCAUUGAAUUGUCUUCUACCCACCUCAGUAUCGAAAAUUUUAAGGGACUUUCUGUCAUAACUGUCUGUGUUUUCAUAUUUUUUGCGAUCGGUUACCUUGUACUUUCUUAAUAAUUCCUUCUGCACAAUAAUAGCUGACUUGUUUUCCAGGUUCAUGGCUACAAAUGAAGAAGCUAUAUGUCACGUCCCACGAAAUGACCCCACUUUUUGCACCAAAACGUGCUAUAAGACUCCCAAAGGACCACCAAAGCGGAGCCAAGUGUCACAAUCAUAGGGUUUCAACCUCGAAACGGACGAUUGUGCGGCACUUGUUCUAACUCAACGAACCAGUCAGCCGAUAAAAAUCCUAGAGUUGUGGGUAACGCUGGCGUAUGUCGUAACCUUCCUUUGCGUUUGAGGGAAAUUUAUUUAUAAAACGCUGGAAAGAAAGAAAUAUAUUGAAAUAGAUGUUACGAUAAACAUUAAAGACUGUCAAUUGCAAGGAAAAAGGGUUGCUUGCAAAGAGUACAACUAAUGCUCGAGCGGGGAUUCAACUAGUAUGUCUCCCCUAUAGUACAUUUUGAACAUUUUCAACUCUGGCAGGCUUGCAUAUGAAAAUGUCGAAACAUCACACCCAAGCUUUAUGACCUAGAAUGAAAAGCAAACACCUAAACUAGUUAUGCAAACUAAAGAUGAGAUAAACUCGGGUAAUCAAAACAUAUAAACAAAGGUAAACACACUUUGGAAAAAUAUGUCCGUGACACACUCCCCCACUUAAACAGUUGACGUCCUCAUCGACUGGCAAAGCUAGAACCCUUCGAUCUUCUGCCUCCACGCUUCACGAUCUUUGGUACGUCUUCCACAGGCUUCUUCCAUGAGGAGGCUCUUCUACUUCAUCACGAACUUGUGUAUCCUCCCUGUGGGUCUUCUUCUUCGACUUUCGUUGGUUCCUCGUGUCCUCUCACGGAAAAAAUGGAAAAAAAGAAAGCAUUCAUUCCCCUUCUAUAUCUUGCAUCUAUAGUAUUUUUGCCCUGGUGGAUCUCUCUUUCAUUUAAUAAAAGCCUAGAAUCUUGGGUUACUAAUUGGUGGAAUACUGGUCAAUCCAGGUGGAGAUCUUCGUAUCUUUAGAAACCGUAUCUGUUCAGGUCGCGGCGUCACGAUGUCCUGACCUUCCACAUGAAGGUCCAACGGGCGAUGCUUCCCAUCUGCCCACCUUUUCGGCCGCUUUGAGACUCUCUCUAGAUUGGCUGGAACGGUGUCUGAUCUUCGCUUUCACUUCUCUGCAACGUUAUGAGUCUGAGGAUCCUUCUUCAUACAGGGGAAAUCAACAAGACGCGACAAUACAUGUUUUCUGUCACCAACACUCUUUGUUGGACUUCUAUCAGUAGAUGAUUUCUUCACAGCUGUAACACCAGGUUCUGUUGCCUCUAACGAACGACCCCCAUUCUUUUGCACUGACUUGUCGGCCUUUGUCAAACUCAUGCCAUAAUGAGCGAAAAAGUUUUCCUUCAUGGAUUCUUUUGACGCGUCUUGCAUUGAGCCAUCAGCUUUACAGGCCUGUGUACGCGCCGACACAUAUAAUUGCCCUCUGUGGCACUCUUCUUUUGACUCUCAAAUGCGAUAGGGUGUCCAUUCUGCAGUAGGACACCACUCAACGCAUGAUUACACGCCUCAGAGUAAGCUUCAACAAGUAGGGUCACACUCGCGGACCCAAGAGUUGGCCCUCUCCUCGGGGCUUGCUUCAGGGCACGGUUGUCGACACCCAACCGUCCUUUCUCUUCUUCACGAAAAAAGCAUUGUGCUUUAUACGGAGCUUUUGCAGGUCUAGUGAAUCCUGCGCACGACAGUCUCCUUGACUGUCUCCGGAGUCCAGUUGACUCCGACUGCGCCAAACGACACUCAUUCUUCGUUGGCGAUUUUGGCAUGGGCAAACUACCACGUUUCCCAUCACAACAUCUCUUGACGACACACAUUGUCUCUUCCCGAACACAGCCCUCUCUCAGUUGCAUGGCCAAGAUCGUUCUCAGUCCUUUGGGUUGCCAAAGGUCUGUCUGCACAACGGUGGGGGUAGAACCCGUGAUCACCAGACAUUUGGCUGCAGACAUUUUUAUCACUUGAUGUUCGAGAAGGAAUUCCAUUUCAAGAACUACAUCAAGGUCAUCCAUGCCUACAACAACAAAAUCAACGAAGCCGCUUCAUCCUCCCAACUCUAUCGCUGCCCGUUUCACUACCCCAUCGACAGGUAGAGCUGUAGAAAUCACGGCCUUCAUUUUUCCCGUAUCUUUCUUCCAAUGAAGGUUUAGUCGUCUGGCUUCGGCCAUCGCUAUUAAAUUAUGAGUGGCACCGGAGUCAACCAUAGUGCUCUUUGCAUGCUUUCGGUUGAUCCAGGUGUCAACAUAUAUUAGGCCCCCUUUAGUACGACCACUUGUCUCUCCCGCUUUCUUCUGAAGGGACGACAUGAGUCUUAUGGCUCCCACUCUAACAUUCUGAACUCCUUCUACAUGCCCAACUUCCUUCUCUGGUUAACACGACGUGUCAUCUGAGUCUGCAGCUAAAGAAGCCUGAAAGGCAUAGAAGGCAGUUUUAUCUGGGCAUUCCCUUGCCCGACAUGGUCCGUUACAAAUGUAGCAACUUAUAGAGUUGGAUAUCCGUUACAAAGUCUGUUACAUCUGAUGUGAGAUGUCCUCUGAUUAUUGGGCCUCUGCCCAAUGUUCCCCGUGUUUGGCUGGAAAGGCUUGCGGUCUCUACCAGGACUUCUAUUUCCACUGACAACUUCGAAAGAAUUCGGUCGGUUGUUUCUGUCUCUUCCAGGUGCAGUGCUUUGAUGACGUUUCGUCUCUUGAACGUCACUAGACAGAUCAAACAAGCGUUCAGCUGUCGCAUAAGCUGAUACGAGGUCUUAGGCCUUCUGCUCGUAUAGCUUAGUCCUUGCCCACGACUUCAGUCCUUCAACAAAACUAAAGAUCUUGUCCUUUUCAGUCAUGUCGAAUAUGUCUAACAUCAGCUAGGUAAACUGCUUCACAUACUCCCGAAUGGUUCCAGUGUGCUUUAACUCCCGCAGUUUUCAUCGAGCUAAAAUCUCAACAUUCUCUGGAAAAAACUGUGAACGAAGUUCUCUCUUCAAACUGUCCCAAGUGUCUAUUACGCAACGUCCUUCCUGAAUGUCAAAAUAUCGGGGCCUCCACCAUAACUUUGCAUCCUUAGAUAGAUGCAUGGUCGCCAACGUCACUUUGGCUUCCUCCGCCACGGUGUUUGUGGCUUUCAAGUACUGCUCAAUAUCAAAGAUAAAGUUUUCCAAUGCCUUCGCAUCCCUUGCCCCAUAGAAGGGCUUGGGUUCCAGGAUCUUUAUCUUGUCAAGUGUAAUCGCUCCUCCAGCUGGAGCUUGAUUGGUCAACGCUCGCAUCAUAAGGUUUACCUUCGUGUUCACCUCUACGAUUUCAUUUCUAAUGACAUCCUAGGUGGCUCAAAAGUCCUCUGACAUGCAAUUUAUCAUUUCCAUUAUAUCCUUCCGAGAGUUAUCUAGCUUCAUAACUCGCUCCUCCAUCUGGACAACAAAGCCUGAUGAACUGUCCCCACGCUCGUAGGAAACAUUUCCAAUUCUCUGGAUUUGUAACUCUAACAUGUCAACUCUAGCCAACAAAUCUUGUAUGGGUAAUCCAUCCAGGCGAUCAGACACCGCAUCAACAGCACCGGCUCUCCCGACAACUUUCUCAAGUUGUUCUUCCAUAAAUCAGAUGGAAUCAGGAACUUCCAUCAGGUGGAGCAUCUGCUCUUCGAUCCCCACCAAUCGUUCUUCAUGGGUCUUGCUCACUCGUUUUGCAGUCGACAUCUCUCUGUCUGAACUGUCAGCUAAUUUGGCUCUGAUACCACUUGUCACAAUCGUAUCGUUUCAACCUCGAGACGGACGAUUGUGCGGCACUUAUUCUAACUCAAGGAACAAGUCAGCCGAUAAAAAUCCAAGAGUUGUGGGUAAUGUCGAUGUAUGUCGUAACCUUCCUUUUGCGUUUUAGAGAAAUUUUAUUUAUAAAAAGCGGUGAAGAAAGAAAUACAUUGAAAUAGACGUUACAAUAAGCAUUAAAGACUAUCAAUUGCAAGGAAAAAUGGUUGCUUGCAAAGAGUACAACUAAUGCUCGGGUCGGGAUUCAACUGAUAUGCCUCCCCUAUAGUACAUUUUGAACAUUUUCAGCUCUGGCAGGCUUGCAUAUGAAAAUAUCUAAAUGUCACACCCAAGCUUUAUGACCUAUAAUGAAAAACAAACACCUAAACUAGUUAUGCAAACUAAAGAUCAGAUAAACUGAAGGUAAUCAGAGCAUAUAACCAAAGGUAAACACACUUUGAAAAAUAUGUUUGUGACACCAGACGCCCCCAUAUGCUUCCAGAAGGUCCUAGACACGCCCAUGUGCGUGCUGCCCCGCCCAUACUCGGCCUAGAUACCCAGAAGCUUUUAGAACGUCCGAGACCGAGUAUGGGCAAUGAAGGCUACAUGGGAUGAUAGUAGUGAAAGUGAAAGUGAAGUUGAAGAAAUGGCAAAUCUUGGUCUCAUGGCUCAUAGUGACAAAGAUGAUGAACAUGAUGAUAAGGUAGCUCUAGAACCUCUUUCUAUUGAUGAAUUAUUUGAAAAUUUUGAAAGCAUGCAAAAUGACCUAGAAAAACUUAGUUCUAAGUAUGUUGUGCUUAAGAAGAAAUACAAUGUUUUAAUUAGUGAAAAUAAGUCUUUACUUGAUACAAUUGCUUGCUUUAAAGAGAAUGAAAAUUUUGAGCAAAUUGAAGAAUUGAAUGUCUCUAGUGAUAAGCAUGUUUGUAUUGAGAAAGAUGCUUUGCUUGAUAAAGUUAGAUUUCUUGAGCAUGAUAGUUGUGAAAAAGAUAACUUGAUUAAAGUGCUUAAAGAAAAUGAACUAAGUGUUUUACAAGAACUUGAUAAAGCUAAAGAAACUAUUAAAAAGUUGACAAUAGGUGCUCAAAGAUUGGACAAAAUUAUUGAAGUAGGAAAAUCUUAUGGUGAUAAGAGAGGUUUAGGCUAUAUUGAUGAAUCAUCUACUCCUUCAAGUUCUAAAACUACAUUCGUUAAAGCAUCACCUAUUGUGCCUAAGUUUAACAUGUCUAAUCAUGUGUCUAAUCAUGUUAAAUCUAGUUUUGUACCCAUAUGUCAUAAUUGUGGUGUUGAAGGUCACAUUAGACCUAAAUGCUUUAAAUUGAAGUAUGCUCAAAAUACUUAUUCAAGAAGAAAUUUUUCGCAAAGAGCAAAGUUUUACAUUGCUCCAAGGAAGAAUUUCUCCAAUAAAAGUAGAGUACAUAAAUUUGUUAUGAAAAAUAAAUCUUUGCAUAAUGUUGUUUGUUUUUCUUGUGGCAAGUAUGGACAUAAAGCUUAUUCUUGUUACCUAUCUAGAUCUAGUGCUUGUAAUGUCUAUGAAAAAAUGAAAUGGAUCCCUAAAUAUGUAAAUGCUAACAUUCUAGGACCCAAACAAGUAUGGGUACCAAAGGAUCAAACUUGAAAUUAGUUGUUUUUAGGUUUGUUUGAAAGCCUCCAAGAAAAACAAAUGGUACUUGGAUAGUGGUUGCUCAAGACACAUGACGGGAGACCGAUCCAAGCUUAUCUCUUUCUCCAAAAAGAAUGGAGGCAUGGUAACCUUUGGUGACAACAAGAAAGGUAAAAUAAUUGGUAAGGGUAAUAUAGGAAAUGAUUCAUCUACUUUGAUUGAAAAUGUUCAUUUGGUUGAUGGUUUAAAGCAUGAUUUGCUUAGUAUUAGUCAAUUGUGUGAUAAAGGAUUUAGAGUAAUAUUUGAUAAAAGAAAUUGCAUAAUUGAAAAUGUUAGUGAUAGAAAAGUUUUGUUUGUUGGAAAUAGGGAUGAAAAUGUGUACACUCUUGAUUUGAAUGAUUAUCCUAUUAUUGAUAAAUGUCUUUCGGUUUUGCAUAAUGAUUCUUGGUUAUGGCAUAGAAGACUAGGACAUGCUAGCAUGCACUUAAUUUCAAAUAUUUCUAAAAAUUGUUUGGUUAGAGGUCUUCCUAGUUUUAAAUUUGAAAAAGACAAAGUUUGUGAUGCUUGUCAAAUGGGUAAGCAAACUAAGUCCUCUUUCAAAUCUAAAAAUGUGAUCUCUACUACUAGACCCUUACAACUAUUACACAUGGACUUAUUUGGCCCUUCUAGAAUUGCUAGCUAUGGAGGAAAUUAUUAUGCUUUUGUGAUAGUUGAUGAUUUUUCUAGAUUUACUUGGGUUUUGAUGAUAAAACAUAAGGAUGAUGCUUUGAAAAGUUUUAUUAGUUUUGCAAAAAGAGUACAAAAUGAAAAAGGAUUUUUUAUUUCCAAAAUUAGGAGUGAUCACGGAGGAGAAUUUGAUAAUGAUGCUUUUAAAGCUUUUUGUGAAGAAAAUGGUUUUUCCCAUAAUUUUUCCUCUCCAAGAACUCCUCAACAAAAUGGUGUAGUUGAAAGGAAAAAUCGUACUUUGCAAGAAUUUGCUAGAUCAAUGUUGAAUGAGUAUGGUUUACCUAAAUAUUUUUGGGCGGAAGCCGUUAACACCGCUUGCUAUGUUUCAAAUAGAGUUUUAGUUAGACCAUCUUUAGAUAAAACUCCUUAUGAACUUUGGCAUGGAAAAAUUCCAAAUAUUGGGUAUUUCAAAGUUUUCGGUUGUAAAUGUUUUAUUUUGAAUAACAAAGAAAAACUUGGAAAAUUUGAUUCUAAGACGGAUGUUGGUAUUUUUCUAGGAUAUUCCUCUACUAGUAAAGCUUAUAGAGUUUUCAAUAAGAAAACUUUAGUUAUUGAGGAAUCUAUUCAUGUUGUAUUUGAUGAAUCUUGGAAUAAUGUUUCUAAUGAGUCUAUUUGUAGUGAUGAUUUAGAAAAAGAUUUUGGAGAUUUACUUGUUAAUGACAAAGGCAAAGAAAUUGUUCCAAGUAUGCAAGAUGUGAACAUCAUAGAGAAGAAAGAAGAGGGUUCUUCAUCCUUGCCUAAAGAGUGGAGAUAUGCUCUAUCCCAUCCCAAGGAUCUAAUUCUUGGCAAUCCCGAACAAGGUGUCAAAACUCGUUCUUCUCUUAAUUUAUUUAGUAAUCUUGCUUUUGUGUCUCAAAUUGAACCUAGAAGUUUUAAAGAUGCCGAAUGUGAUGAGUUUUGGAUUUUAGCUAUGCAAGAAGAAUUAAAUCAAUUUGAAAGAAACAAAGUUUGGAAAUUAGUCCCUAGGCCUUCUAAUGCAUCUAUAAUCGGAACUAAAUGGGUUUUUAGAAAUAAGAUGGAUGAAAAUGGAAAUAUCAUUAGAAAUAAAGCUAGACUUGUAGCUCAAGGUUAUUGUCAAGAAGAAGGUAUAGAUUAUGAAGAAACUUUUGCACCGGUUGCUAGAUUAGAAGCUAUUAGAAUGUUGCUUGCUUUUGCUUCUUAUAAAAAUUUCAUUUUGUAUCAAAUGGAUGUAAAAAGUGCUUUUUUAAACGGUUAUAUUGUGGAGGAAGUUUACGUAGAACAACCUCCGGGCUUUGAAAGUUUUGAUUUACCUAAUCAUGUUUAUAAGUUGAAAAAGGCUCUUUAUGGCUUAAAACAAGCUCCAAGAGCUUGGUAUGAUAGACUUAGCAAGUUUUUACUUGAGAAUGACUUUAAGAUGGGAAAAAUUGAUAAUACUCUAUUUAUUAAAGUUAAAAAUAAUGACAUGCUUAUAGUACAAAUUUAUGUGGAUGAUAUUAUAUUUGGUUCUACUAAUUCAUCUUUGUGUGAAGAAUUUUCCAAGUGUAUGCAUAAUGAGUUUGAGAUGAGUAUGAUGGGAGAACUUAGUUUCUUCCUUGGUCUUCAAAUCAAACAACUCAAGGAUGGCAUCUUCAUAAGUCAAGAAAAAUACACAAGGGAUUUGCUCAAGAAAUUCAAAUUAAAUGAAGGUAAAGUUGCAAAAACUCCUAUGAGCACUACCACUAAGCUUGACAAAGAUGAAAAAGGUAAGUGUGUGGAUAUAAAGACUUAUCGAGGUAUGAUUGGAUCUUUACUUUAUUUGACCGCUAGUAGACCCGAUAUCAUGUUUAGUGUAUGUCUUUGUGCUAGAUUUCAAUCUUGUCCUAAAGAAUCACAUUUCCAUGCUGUUAAAAGGAUACUUAAAUAUUUGCUUGGAACUAUUGAUGUUGGAUUAUGGUAUCCUAGAAAUGUUGAGUUUAAUUUGGUAGGAUAUUCCGAUGCGGACUUUGCCGGUAGUUUACUUGACCGUAAAAGUACUAGUGGGACUUGUCAAUUUCUUGGUAGUUCCUUAGUAUCUUGGUUUAGUAAAAAGCAAAAUUCGGUUGCCUUAUCCACUACCGAAGCGGAAUAUAUUGCGGUUGCUAGUUGUUGUGCACAAAUUCUUUGGAUGAAACAAACUCUUUGUGAUUUUGGAUUAAAAUUUGAUAAUGUGCCUAUAUUUUGUGAUAAUACUAGUGCCAUAAAUUUGACUAAGAAUCCUAUUCAUCAUUCUAGAACUAAGCAUAUAGAUAUUAGGCAUCACUUUAUUAGAGAGCAUGUACAAAAUGGUCAUAUUACUCUUGAGUUUGUAAGUUCCAAUAAUCAAUUAGCGGAUAUAUUUACCAAACCUUUGAGUGAAGAAAGCUUUUGUAAAAAUAGGCUUGAGCUUGGAAUUAUUCGUUGGGAUGCAUCUUGAUUUUAUAUCUUACUUGAUAUUGUUACCGUAAUGCAUAUUGAUAGGGGGAGAAUUAGACAUUUUGUAUGUGUUCAUGUUUUUUUGGGAGAGCUAACUUCCUUGGUAUUGUUUUUGAUGAUUCCAAAGGGGGAGAAGUAUAAGAAAAAUAUGUUUUUAUCAAUUUGUUGCAUAAUUGUUUCUAUUGAAUAAUGCAUAUUUUUUUAGAGAAAAAUUAAUUAAGGACAAAGAAGGUUCUCUUAUCAAUUGUUUUCAAGUAUGAUCUUUGUGGUGAAAUAUAUACAUGAGCUUUAUGGUUAUACAUCUUGAUAAUAGAAUUACUUGUUGAUCAUGUGUAUUUCAAGUUAUUUUUCUUCAAUGAUUUGUCAUCAUCAAAAAGGGGGAGAUUGUUGGCUUUUUGGCCCUUAAUCUCAAAUUAAUUUAUUUUAAUUAUUCAAUUAAUUUAUGUUUUGAUGAUAACAAAUCUGAUUUUUUUAUUGACAAUUUUAUUAAUUUGAAUAGACCAUAUCGUAGAGCUUGGAAAAAUGAUUCUAACGCCUCUUGAAUCACCCAAAUCGAAGUUCAAAUGAAGAAAAUAUUGCUAAAAGAAGCUUAACGAAAAAAUACCCGAGAUGGUGACGUGGCGACCAAGCAUUCAAUUUGAACCAAUUAGAGAAAGCCACUUGGAGCAAUGAAGGAGUAACAAAUGUGGCUUUUUGUUAUGUUUUAUUGGCUUUUAUAAAGAAAAUGAAUUUAAAAGAAAAAUGAUUUUAAUAUUAUUAUUUUUUAUUGUGUCUAACGGCUAGUUUUUUUUAAAAGAGGGUGAAGUUGCUUUAUUGAUUUCUUUUUAAACAAAAUAUUUUGAAAAGACAUAUUAUUAUAUUAUUAUUUGUAUUGUGUCUAACGGCUAAUUAAGUUUAAAUCUCAACCAUUCAUUUUUCUUUAACUUAUAUCUAAUGAUCCAAAAUGAUUUUGAAUUUAUCUUUUCUCUUUUUUUAAAUACUUCACUUUUUCCAAAUUUUGAAACACAAGAUCAUUAAAUAUUUACAAUCCUCAAGCAAAAAGCCAACAUUGUUAUUCUCUCUAAAGCUUCCAAUUUUUAUUCUUUUCAUCUUAUUCUUGAGAGCUUCUUAUUGUAUUGUGAGGAUUAAAUUUGUGAGCUUCAAAUUGUAUACUCACUCUUUUAGAGAGUUUUCUUUUGUGUGAUUUAAAAAUUUCAACAUAUUGUAACGGUUGGAUCCUAACCCGUGGAAAGGAUCGAGUUUGCUCUUGAACCCGAAAAAGGAGCAAGAAUCGGUUCGGCUCAAAUCCGUGGAAAGAGUCCAAAGAAGAUUUUCAAUCAAAAUCCCAAGGGGUGCUUGGGAAAGUGGAUGUAGGUUGAGUUUAACCGAACCACUAUAAAAUUACGGUGUCUUCUUCUCUAACUCUUUUCUAAUUAUUUUUUAAUUUAAUUUUAGUUACAUAUUAUUUAUUGGUUGAGUUUGAUUGCAUACUUCCAUUCAUAUCUUUUUAUCAAUCUUGUUAUUUAACAAAGUUUACAAAGUUCUUUAUUUAAAUUUUAGAAAAUAUCUAAUUAGUUGAUUUUACUUUUUAUUUGUCAAAAAGUUUAUUUAAACCCUAUUCACCCCCCUCUAGGGUUGCCAUACCGAUCCAACAAUAGUAUGUGGCCUGUGGUGUUAAUUUCAUACAAUUUGUCACCAUGGAAAUUAAUGCAUGAAAGAGUUAAACUUUUUCAUGUCAUUGCUCAUUCUCGGUCCUAAAUCUCCAGACAGAGAAAUUGAUGUGUACUUAUAACCAUUAAUUGAAGAGUUAAAAAAUCUAUGGACGUUUGGUGUGCGUACGUAUUAUUGUCUAACGGAUCAAUAUUUUCAAUUGUAUGCAGCCUUGUUGUGGACAAUUAAUGACUUUUCAGCAUAUGGUGAUUUAUCCGGUUGGAGUACAAAAGGAUAUCAAGUAUGUGCAUGGGGGAUAGAUCAUCGUUCGGAAUACGCGAAAAGAUAACAUUCAUGGGACAUUGACGGUAUUUUCCAGACAAUUGUGUUUGGCGUAGAAGUAGACUUCAUGAUGAAAAGGUAGAGCGUAAAUCAUCUUCAGUAGUAAUGAAUGACCAAGAAAUAUUGGAACUAGAUUCUUUGGAGUUUCCAAUAAUGAGUAAGCAUCCUUCGUUAAAAGAUAGAAAAAGAGUUCUUAAUUAGACUAAGAAAAAUAUUUUUUUCGAUCUUCCUUAUUGGCCAAGACUACUUAUUCGUCACAAACUUGAUGUAAUGCACAUUGAAAAUUACGUGAUUUGGGCUUAGGGUACGAGACUAUCCAUGCUUGUAAGUAUGACUGUGUAUUGUUGAGACAUCCAGCCGAUGGAGAGGGAUGGAAGCACUUUGAUUCUGAAUUUCUUGAUUUUGCAUUAGAGCCACGAAACACACAAUUAUCUUGAUUUUGCAUUGAUUUGAAUUCGUUUCUAAUAUUUCAUGUGUGUGAAUGCAAACGAUGAAAAAAUAUCAGAUCUCAAAACGCACGAUUGUCAUGUACUGCUACACCGACUUCUUCCAAUCGGUGUUAGGGCAUUCUUACCAAAGAAUGUGUACACUGUAAUUACUGAAUUGUGCAAUUUUUUUCGUGAUUUGUGCGCCAUAACGAUAAGAAUAAGUGAUUUGGAUAGAUUGCAGUCAAAUAUUAUAAUUAUAUUGUGCAAAUUGGAAAGAAUAUUUCCACCUGAUUUUUUCAGCAUCAUGGUACACCUUGUAGUUCACUUGCCAUAUGAGAUAAAAGUUACUGGUUCAAUUUCUUACAGUUGGAUGUAUCCCAUUGAAAGAAGUCUCCACACACUAAAACAAUAUGUUCGUAACAAAGCACAUCCUGAGGGGUCUAUUGUAGAAGGAUAUCUUAUGAACGAAUCAAGUACUUUAUGUUCACGCUAUCUGAAGGGGAUUGAGACCCAAUUCACUAGAGAUGAUCGAAAUGAUGAUAGCAUUGAAGAAGAUGAGGUCAUUGGUGAGUAUGAAGUAUUCAUUCAGAAAGUACGACCAUUGGGAGCGUCACGUUUACGAAGUUUAUCGCAAGAAGAGAAAUGACUUUUUCUUUGGUACAUCCUCAGCAAUGUAGAUGAAAUAGUCGAAUACCGGAGGUAUAAAUUUCUAUACGUAUUUUAGGGUUUUAUACUUCGCCGACACACAAACUCACAAUUGUGUACUUUAGGAAACACCUGCUUCUAAUACGUCGUCGAGGUGAAAGCUUUUCUGGACUCUUUAAAAGACAUCAACGAGCAUUUGUCGAUUGGUUCAAAGCAAAGGUAUUUUGAGUGAAUGACUUUGAGCAUUUCUACUUUAUGCAUAUUUUAUACUUAUAUAAGUACUUUAAUGUUAAACCAAAUUUCAGGUUAUGGCAGAAAUGCGUGACAAUCCAAAUAUUUCUGAAGAUUUAUUUUCACUCGCAAUGGGAGCAUCACUUGAUGCCCGCUCUUACAGUGGAUGCAUUGUCGAUGGCGUACGAUUUCACGCGUUGGAGCGUGAUUCCCGACGCACAACACAAAACAGUGGAGUCACGGUAAUCGGGGAAGGGAGUGGAGGCAGUGCGAACAAUAGUUUUUACGGUGUUUUGGACGAAGUGUUGCACGUUCAAUAUCCAUUUGGACGACAUGCUUGGUUAUUCAAGUGUCGAUGGUUUGACACAAACAAAAAUAAAAAUCAUAUAACGCACGAAGAACUAGGCUACAGAAUAAUAAACACGUCUUGUUUUUGGUUCGCUGAGGAACCCGUGAUUCUCGCAACUCAAGGACAUCAGGUGGUCUACCUUGAGGAUCCUAAGAAUGGAAUCAAUUGGAAAGUUGUUCCAAGUGGUGCAAAAUGAACAUGUAUGGGACGUGCCAGAAGUGGAAUAUAUCGAGAAUGAUCAACUUAUUGUAAUGAAAAUCGCCGUCGAACAUCGGGUGGACGAACACAUCAGUGAGGAUGACACUCUGUGUAGGACUGAAGUUGAUCCUACAAUAGUGGAAAGACCAAAUGUUUGUCAUGUCGUGGAAAAUUUCAUAAGCGAUGAAGAUGACGAACAAUCAUCACAUCAAAGCGAGUCGUGCGAAGAUGAAUAACAAUGUUUUUUUGACAUAUACACACAUUUAAUCAUUUUUCUAUACAUUAAUUACGUUGUGAUACUCACAUUUAUUUGUUUAAUGUUUUGUUAAUUUUUAUGUAUGUAGAUAUAAAGUCCAACUUUCCGAAUAGUAUGCAUGAGCAAGAAUAUUUACUUAAUCUUGACGCGUUGGAUAACGCGGGUGGUUCGUCGUCAGUAGGCGACACUUCAGGUUCGUAAUAAUAUCAGCAUAUUUAAUACAAUUUAUCUCUCAUAUGAUCAUGUCUUUAAGUUUUGCUUGUUGUAUAUAAUCACAAUAUCGUUUUCAGUAGACCCCUCUCAUUCGACUCCCACUGCAAGGAGAGUAUGACGACAUUCUAGAAACAUAGAUGUCGACUGAUACGUACAGCAGAAUGGGAGAAUUCCAUUUCCAUCCCCCUCGAGGGUACAAACCUAUCUCACGACACGCCCCUCGUUUCAGUUGCACGAUCGGUGUGCUGACACGAGACACGUUUCCUAUUCAGGCCCUAAAGUGGGCAAAUGUGCCACCGGAGUGCAUCAAGGUCGUUUUUCUUUCAUUUAUUUUAAAUUAAUGAUUUUUGUCCAGGUAUACACCUAUAUCAAAUCCCGAUGCAAGAGGAUACUUUGAUUUACUAGUUAACGUAUAUUUUCCUUCACAAUCUUUUAGGGUUUUCAAAUCGACAGAAAAAAAAUAAUUAAUUUGAUCAUGGCAUUGGAGAAGGCUAAAGUGGUUGGUGUUUUUGUGUUCUUUACAGCAAGAGUUACUGUUCAUUUUGCUGUUCAGGUGAAGAGAUUUUUACUAAACUAGGAGUCGAUUUCAAGGCUAUUGAAUUGGACACUGAGAGUAUGUAAACCAUACUAGGGGUGAAAUCGGAUUGAGUUGGGUUGGGUUGGGAGACAUUCUCAACUCAACCCAUAUUUUCAGGUUAUUUAGGUUGGCAACCCGAAUAACCCAAAUUUAGUUUCCAAUCCAACCCAACCCACAUUGGGUUGGGUUAUCGGGUUGUAUAUAUAAAUAUUUUUUAAAAUUUUUUUUCCCGUUUUCUAGUUUCUAAUGGUUAUAAAAGUUUGAAAUUGUUACAUAUAAAUUUCAAACCUACAUAAUUCAAACUUUCACCUCUAAUUUGUUUUUAUUAAAAUAAUAUUUAUUUAUUUAUAUAUUUAUAUAUUAUGUUAAUUCGAGUUGGGUUGGAUUGAACCGAAUUUUUUAACCCUCCAAUCCGAGAUCCAACUCAAUCCAAAAAAAUUAAUUUUUUUAACCCAACCCAUAUUUUAACCUAACCCAACACAAUCCUUAUAAUAUGGGUUGGGUAGUCCGAGUUAUUCGGGUUCAACUCAUAUUUGUACACCCCUAAACCAUACUAGUUAUGAUGAUGUUUACACUAGUUACAAUCGUUUUGCUAUAUUUAUAAUUUUUUUAAAAUAUUGUUAUAUUCUUAAUUAUUAUUCUUAAAAUAAUCAUCGAUUACCAUAAAAUCUAAAAUGGUCAUCAACUACGAUUAACUCUAAAAUGGCCAUCAGUUACCAUUAAGGUCAUAGAUUACAAUUAGAAUUAGCUUAUUUUGUCCAGUUAAAUGCUCAAGACAUUAACCCGUUAACCCUACUCGUUUAAGAGUGGGCUCGGGCUAAUUCUAAUUGAUACUUGAAAAUGUUAAAAUGGGCCUAGGCCCAUAAUAUUCCGUCCACCUACACCGUUAUUUACAAGAAAUUCAAACCUCAUUUCACAAAGCUACCUUCCCGGCUGGUUAUGGCGGGUACGUACGGCUGCACCAUCUCUUUCUCCCUUCCUUCCAACAAAUUCACCAUUUGCACAGCCAAGCCACUGCUUUCAGUUUCAUCCUCCAUUUCCAUUUCAUCUCGUUCCAAGCUCCGAACAAGAAAAAAUCAUUUGCGUAUCAAAAUUCUCAAAACCCUAAAUAGACCUCCUCCUUUCUCUCUCUCUCCCAUUCCUCCUGAAACCCAACCUCCAACUCCGAUCGUCUCGCCGGGAACUUCAGGUCCUGUCGAUGUCGAGACCGAGGUUUUGUCUCCGGCGGAAUCCUGCCCUUCCUCCACGGACGGCGAAUCUCGCCUCUCCGAGAGCUCGAACAUUGCUUCGUUGUUUAAUUUUGACGUUGCCAAAUUUUCUUGGGGAAGUUUUGUCAAGCUUGGCGUUUAUUUGCUUGCUGUUUUUGCGUUUCAGACAAUUUGUACUGUGUGGGUCUUAGAAUAUGGUAGUUCGAUUAAGGAAGAUAAGAGUUCAAAUGAAGAUUUGAGUGUUAGGAGAAAAGGCGGAAGGGAAGUGUUGUUGAAUGGAAAUGAAGGAAAUGUCCUUGGAAAUUUUGGGUCGAAAAGAAACAAGUCGGUUUAUUUGGAGGAAACGAAGAUGAGAGAAAAAAUUGAAGAGAUAAGAUUGAUGGCUAGGGCAGCAAGGAUAGAGGAGAAAAAUAAAAUGUCUGAUGAUUUUGAGGACGACGAUAUGGAGGGUGGAAAUGCAAUUUCCAGAGCAAGGAUUGGUAUCGAGAAAGAGGUAGAUGCUCGACUUGUUAAGUUAGAGAAGAGGCUAAAUUCUGCCAAAGAAAAGAUAUCGGGUUCAUCGAUGAAUUAUUUGCUUAAGUCUGAACAUGUUGAGGAUGCAGUUGAAAGGAAUAGCUUCAAUGGUGAAGAGAGGAACGAGAGUCUAAUGUAUAAGAAAAAGAUGAAAUACAGAGACUCUUCUAGUCAUAGAAUCAAGAAGCCUGAGGGGUUUCAAGGUUUUGUAUCUAAUGGGAGAAAGAGUGGCUCAAAUGACAAGGGUGCUACAGUGGAAGGUGCAAAUAUUGUUGAUAAAAUGGGAGUGAAGGAUACUGAAAAACGGGUAGGUAACAAAAUCAUGGAUAGUGUUUCAGAGAUAUUCGAAGAUGAUGGCACAAAUUCUGCAAGAAAUGAAUUAGUAUUACCACAGAAAAAUGAUGGAACGAAUUUGGAUAUUGGAACUAAGGCUUCGAGUUCAAAGAAUAAGCUAAGUAAUGGUAAUGUCUCUAAAUUAUAAGAUACUAUUUUCGUCUAAUGGGUGCUUGUUUGUUUGUUGAUUUGUUAUAUUUUGAAUUCCUCAUUCAACAUUAAAGUACGGCUGUUCAGAACUUCAUAUUUGUCGUAUGAAAUAAUUAUGGUUUGUUUCUUAAGUUUUUAGGCGUUGUUCAGGAGUCUUCAGUUGUGAUAUCCAAGUCACAGAAUUUAAAAAAUGCAAUGAAGAAUAGAUCUUCUUCAGCGAGUUCAGUUGACAGUGUUGAAAAGAAAUCUAAGGCUGGGGAAGAUAGAAGGAAACAAUCAAACAAGAAAGCCGAUUUAUGGUGGUUGAAUCUUCCUUAUGUUCUAGUAAGUUAGAAAAUAAACUUCGCAUUUCUAUACUUGUGUUCUUCUUGAUGGCAUGAUUUUAAUUUAUGAAGACACUUCAAAUGCGACAAAUGGACGUUUGGAUUAUGUACGAGAUCAACCUUUUAGAUUUCAAUCCUGAUUCGCACACUUAGCAUAACAAGUAUUCCUAAUGAAAAUAGGCCCUUGUUUGAUAACACUUACGUUUUUAGUUUUUUUAGUUUUGAAAUUUAUGCUUGUUUCCUUUAUAAUUUUACCUUUCUUAUGGAAGCAUUUUAUUCUCAGCCAAAUUCUAAAAACAAAAUAAAGUUUUUCAAAAACUAUUUCUUUUUAGUUUUGAAGCUUGUGUUGGUUUUUGAAAGCAUGGGUAGAAAGGCGAUAAAAAAACAUAGAAGUGGAAUCAGUGUUUUGUGUUCAUAGAACAAAAAUUCAAAUUGGUUAUCUGCAAUAAAUUUAGUUGCUAUACGCAUGUAGUUAUAGUGCCACAUAACACUGGUUUAGGCAGAAUAAUUAUGCAUCCACGGAUAACAAAAGUUUAAUGUUUCAGAAGGGAACCGAGGGAAUGUUUUCAGCUAAAGAAAGGUGAAAUAUGGUGAAUAUACACCUCCUUUUGCUGGUUUGUAUCUCAAGAUAUGAAGUUUGAAAAAGUUUGGUAACUAUCAUGACUUGGUAGUAAAAAAGGAGACAGCCUCAAUAAGUGGUUAAGAGUUCAUGAGUUCAAUCAAUUGGUGGUCACUUAUUUAGAAACUAAUUUCUUAUUAAUUUCCUUCACACUCGAAUGUUGUAGGGUCAAAUGGGUUGUUCUGUGAGACUCGUUGAGGUGCGUACAAGCCAAAGGAGACAAAGUCUCAAUAAGUGGUUAAGAGUUCAUGAGUUCAAUCAAUUGAUGGUCACUUAUUUAGAAAUUAAUUUUCUUCACACUCGAAUGUUGUAGGGUCAAAUGGGUUGUUUUGUGAGACUCGUUGAGGUGCGUACAAGCCAAAGGAGACAAAGUCUCAAUAAGUGGUUAAGAGUUCAUGAGUUCAAUCCAUUGAUGGUCACUUAUUUAGGAAUUAAUUUCUUAUUAGUUUUCUUUACACUCGAGUGUUGUAGGGUCAAAUGUGUUGUUCUAAGAAACUCGUCGAAGUGUGUAUAAGUUGGCUUAGACACUUAGUUUUUUUUAAAAAGAAAAUAGACUGAACAGCACAUUAUGUUCAUUUAGAUAAAUAAAAGGCUCAUCUGAGGUUUGCAUUUGUUGCAAGAAUGUCCCAAUUCUUUCCGGUAAUGCAAUAUUAGGCUUGAUGUUUUGUGAAUGUUUCAAAACUUCCUCAUUAGAAAUUUGGGACAUGAAAUGGGAGUGGCGAUGACAUAUAAUGGCGUGACAAUGUUUAGGUCCCAAUUUAUGUCCAACAUUUUAAUAGAUUUAUACUUCAAAUUUAGUUUUGAAAUGUUUAUGAAUUUUUUCUUUUGGCAAUAUUGCCGUAGGAGUAUUUUCUAAAAAUAUGGCAUUGUCGAAGGGUACUUGUAAUUUAGACUAUAUCAAAUGUUCAAAAAACAAUGGAAAUGUCAAGCGCACAUGUUUGAAGAGUUUAUUUAUUUAAUUUUUAUUAUUUUGCAGAGAUCCAUAUUUCAACAACCCUUCUAUUAGUUUUAAGAGUUAUUUUUUAGCACUAUGAUCUUUUUUUUCUUUUCUUAACACUAAAAUGUAUCCAUCACAGAUAAUUGUUAUGCGUCAAGGUUCCGAUGGUGAAGAACUAGAUGGACUUUUCACCUUAAAGGUUCCUUCCGCGACACAAGAUAUUGAGGAAUCUACAUAUGCGGUUGCUUUUGAAAACCAUGUCGAUGCAAAUAACUUCUGUUAUCUUCUGGAAUCUUAUUUUGAAGAGCUUGAGAAUUUCACAACCGAUGUCAUUCCUCUGCCAACAAAAGUAAGAAUUCUUCAAUUUCAGGAUAUCUAUCUUCUUUUUCAUCAUUGAUUUGGUUUGGGAUUGUUCUAGCUCCUAAAAUAAUUGUUGUAGAAGUAAAUUGGUUUUUGGUAAAUGUAUAAAAAUCAUAAGAGGCAUAAUAUUUUAAUAACUCAUAGUAUUAUGUUGAUAUUUACUUCCAAAGUUUUUAUGGGAUAAUUAAUUUAAAAUUUUAUUUAAUUUAAUUUACAAUCUUCAAUAUUGUGUUUAGUCUAGAAAAUGUAAAUUCAAUUGAAUCCUUCAAAUGCAUGAAGAAUCAAGGAUGGAACAAAAACGAGAUUGUGAAGUGCGAAAACAAAAGAAAAGAGGAUUGAGUUGAAAAGGUGUGAAAAUUAAAGAUUGGGUCCAAAAGGCUGGAUUAAAACAUUAGUUUUGGAUUACAUUACAUUACAAACCUAUUACAAUACGGGCGUCCUAGGGCUCCAAUACUUAGUCAGCAAAUCCACCUUACACUAAAAGUGGUUAUAAUUCUUUUAUAAUCACUUUUACAUUCUUCCAAACUCACCCUAAGUCAAAAUCAUCCUGCCCGAUUGAUCAGCUUGUGUUUUUUAUUUCUUUGUUUGAGUUGAAUGAUUAUAGGUAUGAUAACAAUUGUCUAAUUGGUACUUUAUUCGUCGAGUCGUAAUACGAUGAUAAGUUCGUGGUUUUGUUUCUCCCUCAGGAGUAGUGUUUGUAUAUACAGUAACUUUCAGGUGUAAUCAGAGGGAAAAGUAUAACAAAAAGGAAAAGUAAAACCGCUAACAUUUUUGCUUGAUCUUUCUAUAGGAACUUGAGAAGUUCAUAAAAUCAAAUACAAGGAAAAUGAUUGUUGUGAAGAAGGGGCAACUCCAGCUCUAUGCAGGCCAACCGUUCGCGGAUGUUGAGAUGGCUUUGUAUUCUUUGAUUGAACAAAAUGAGAAUGUUAUUGCUUUACAUUCUUAGUUAGGAACCACAUGGCCAGAGGAACAUCCGGUUUCAUGUUCGAUCUGUCACCAAUGCAGCCAUCAAACCUGCCCAAGAUGUUGAAAAUUUGUAACUGAAGACGGGAGCUUAGCCACCAUUUCCCAGAUUUGAUGAUGAUAUGAAUUUCAUAGGAAAACCCGUAAGUUACUUUUUGCUUUAAUUAGUUGAGAGGGUUACGUUUAGAAUUGAAUUUCACUUUGACCCCACAUGGUUUUGUCUUAAUAUAUAUAUAUAUAUAUAUUGAAGCAUUUAUUCAUGAAAUCUUGGUUUGUCAGAGAUGAUUAUGGAAGAAUGUUCAUGAACGGACAAUUCAAGCAGAUAUUUUUGAACUAAAUUGCAUAUUUUAUUUGUGAGUUUCGAGCCGCUAACAUCUUAUACGUUAUGGUCGUGUUGUUAUGAUUGAUUUUGAGUAUAUUAUGAACAUUUUCAAGCUUUUAUGAAAUUGUAGAUUUUGUAGUUUUUGUUUCGUCAAGAUAGAUAUUUGCGAUUAAAUUUGUGUAGACGAAAUAAAUGUGGUUCAACGCAUCCAAUUAUUUUUUAAAAAAAGAAAUUUCGUUUUAUUAGUUGUAGCAAAACAAAAACAAACUCAUUAACUCAAUUUGCAACCAAGAAAUUAAUAGAAGAAACAUCAAACCAUGAACUGAACGAAUGAGCACACCAACUCAUUCUAAAAGAUUCCUAAUUUGACAUUGAGAAAUAUUGCAAGUGAAUCACUCAGUUGCAAGUCUCAAUUUCUUUUUGUUAACAUACUCUUUUUUUCACUGUAUCUUCAAAUACAUAAAUCUGAGUCAUUUCUCAAAAUCAAUUUCGUUUUUAGUUAAUUAAAUUUAUAAUUCAAACAUUUUACAAUUGAUAGUUUGAUAAGUCAUUCUUUUAGUAUCCCUAAAUUUGAUAACAAUAAUAAUAACACACACUUCUCCUUUCUGUCUCUUAAAAGUUGAAGAUUGAAUUUCACCUCAAAGAAGAAGAAAAAAAAAGGAAAAAAAGGAGGUUGUAUAAUUCUAAACCAUAAAUUGAGAAAUUUUAUACUCAUAAAGAUUAUAUUGACGCUUAUAAGUGUAUGAACUCACACUAGAAAAUUGGUGUAAAAUUGAUAAUAAUUGUAUCAAUAGACUUUCAUUUAGAAUUUACUGGGAGAAUAAAAUCAAUAUUUGAAAUAGUUGUGUGAUUAAUUGGAAUGAAAAAUAUGAUUUAUAAAAGGUGAAAACUUUUGGAAGACAUUUUGGAUGUCUCCCAAUUGACGUUAUGAUGCAGUGAAAUAGAACGUAGUUAGUAGUAAAGUUAGGAGCAAGUUGAGGCGAUGAGUUUAAUGACAAAAGGGGAUAUAAACAAAAACGAGAGCUGAAGUGACUUUUCUUCCAAACGGAGAAACAAAAUCAAACACCGAACAUUUUCCGUUCCCAAAAUUCUUCAGAUUCAAACGUUGCUCUCUUCUUCUCCAAAUCCAACACCCAAAUUCUUCUCUUCCAAAACUCAAAACACAUUCCCAUUCCAAUUUCAAUUUCUAUUUCUAUUUCAAUUCCCACUUUUCUCUUCCGAUUUCACUCUUUACUUCCCCUGUCCCACUCCUCCUCCUCUUCAAUCCCUCAACCUUUUCAACCUCAAUUCGCCCGCCAUACCUUCACUUCAGUUCAUUCCCGUUCCUUGACGUUUAGGGUUCUUCGUUGCCGGCUUCGCUAAAACCCUAGUUUUCAUCUUAUCUGAAUUUUUGUUUGAAAUUUGCUUUGUUUUAUGAGUCCUGAUGUCGUAGGGGUUUUCUUUUCAUCUCUGUUGUUUACUAAUGGGCGCUCGUACCAGCAACCGUAAGCGGGAUGAUGAGUGUUUGAGUGUUAAUCGUUCGUAUUCAUCUUUGAGAUCACCGGAUUUUCACGUCUCUAAGAAACCUAAAUUUUCUACCAUGUCUACGGAUCGGCCGGUUGUUUCAUCCAACUCUACCGUGGCUAGACUCUCUCGUUACCCUGAAGAAACUUCCCUAUUGCGUCGAGAAGUCCAUGGUCCUUGUAGAUUGUUCAAAUUUGGGCUCUCGAGGAGCAUCAAUAGGUUUUGGGAGUCUAAAAAUAGUGAUUUGUCGGAACAAGAUGAGGUGGGGAAUGUCUUGUCGUACAAUUACCAAGUUGCGAAGAGUCGUGCAAUUGGUUCGUUGCGGUCGUUCCCUAGGGAUGUUAUUGAAUUGGAUUCAGACUCGCAAACUGAAAAAGAUGUUUCUGGAGAUUCGAAGAACGAAGACGACGUUGAGGUAAUUGAAGAUGAAAACCAGGAGCAUAGGUCUCAUGAGGUUGUUACAAUGGAGGAAUUGGAUACGAAGGUGAUGGAUGUUCAUCAGCCGUCGUCGUCUUUGGAAGUUGUAGAUUUGACAAAUGACGAUUCGAAAGUUGAAAACGCUGAGAAAAUGCUUGGUGCUUUGUCAUUGAACCCGGAUAUGUCCAGCGUUUUGGCUUACAAAAAGUUGCUUCAGAGUGUGGAAAAGCGAACAUCGAGAUUGAAAAGCUUGGAUUUUGAAAUCGAGUUGAAUGAGAAGCGUCGGUCAGUUCUUCAAUCGCUAACUCCAAAAAAGAAGCCUGUUGAUGUAAGUUUGUCAUCUCUGCAGCAGAGAUAGAUUAAUUAUGUUUCUGGAAGAUGCAAUUUCCCCAUUCUUAUGCUAAUGAGAACUUAUUUGUUGUUUCCAGGAGAUUCCACAGGAACUUUUUACUCCUCUUACUAAGGAGGAGGAAGCCGAGGUUGAACGUGCGUUCUCGAGUAACCGGUACUGAUGAUAUACCUGUAAUCUUUCAUGUACUGCAUUUUGUUCUUUGUUUGACGUUUUUUUGACCGGAUAUUUAUUCAGGAGGAGGAUUUUGGUUGCUCAUGAGAAUUCAAAUAUUGAGAUUACUGGAGAAACUUUGCAAUGUCUGAGACCGGCUGCUUGGUUAAACGAUGAGGUAUAUUUGAAGAUUACAAGAAAUAGUGUCUUAUGGUUUACAAUCUUGAGAUUACUGGAGAAACUUUGUUGUAUUUAUUGUUUGUAGGUGAUUAAUUUAUAUCUAGAGUUGCUGAAAGAAAGGGAAAGAAGAGAGCCAGAGAAGUAUUUGAAAUGCCAUUUCUUUAAUACCUUCUUCUAUAAAAAGGUUGGUUUGCCUUGCUCCAUUUUCCACUUCAUUUUUUAAAAGCAAAUGUAGGUCAGUUCUUUGCCCAUUAAUAAUCUGCCAUAAGACAAGCCUCCAUUUAUUCGUUCAAUAUUUUGGCAAUGCCAAGGGAGUUUGGAGAGCUCUCUCUUUAUAAGGCCUCUGUAAUAGACCUUCACAAUGAACUAAGUUUCUAACUAAUCAAAUCAUUGUGGCCUCUCGAAAUCAUAGACACAACCACUCAAUUGCUAUGUCCACUCACCACUCUUUGCACAAAUUGUUAAUUUACCUUGAGAUGAUGAGGUUUUAGUUUGGUGCGUUUCUGAAAUUUACAAUAGUCGGUCAAUGAUAGGAAAUUGAGCUGCUUGACUUUCCUAUGUGGCCUACAUUUGGAUUGACCAUUCCAUACAUAUAACUUGGUUGGUAUGUUGAUUGGAGACCCUUUCUUUCAUUUGCCUCCUUUUGUGGGUUCUAUUUUUGUAACUCAUGUAUUCCUUCCUUUUUUCUCUAUGAAAGCCCAGCCAGUCCAUACCUGGAACUGCUUUUGAAUGAAUUAUUGUGUGGAAACAAGUUCGCUUUUAUGAGAGUGUUUUCAAUGGACGCAAUAAAUAGUAGUUGAAGCCUCCUCAACCUGUGUUAACAUUCUUAUAUUGUUUCUCCCUUGGACAUCUCUGUUUUCGCAUGUUAGAAAUAUAUACAUUUUUUUUCAAUCUUAAUAAAAGAGUGGUCUAAUUAGAAAAUACAUUUAUAUGUGCCACUAGUGAUGAUCUGACUCUAGCUUGGUUUGUUCUUUCUUUUAACAUUGCUAACAGUUAAAUGGAAGGAACGGGUAUGAUUACAGAUCUGUCAAAAGAUGGACCAGCCAAAGGAAGCUGAAAUAUGAACUCAUUGAUUGUGAUAAAGUAAUGUUCUGCCACCUCUAAACUCUAUUACACAUCUAAUCAAUGGCCAUUGAUGGAACAAUUUUAGUUCAAUUUUUACUGAUCCAUUUUAAUUACUUCUUUAGAUAUUUGUCCCCAUCCAUAGAGAAAUACACUGGUGCCUAGCAGUAAUCAACAAGAAAGAGAAGAAGUUUCAGUAUCUUGAUUCUCUCAAGGGAAUGGAUUCUCGAGUUUUAAAAACUUUGGUAUGUUUUAUCUUUCCUUUCCUCUCUGCAAUUUAUUGGUUCAUUUGUAUGGUUCAUGAACUUAUUGUUAUGGUAGCAUACUUGGCAUACUUGCUAUAUGGAAUAUCAUAAAUCCUAGUGACUUAGAAAUUGGAAUUAGGAACCCUCUGGAUACAUAUAUGAACCCCUAAUUCUCAAACACCAAUACUAAAACUUUCAAAUUGCUUCAAACUCAUUCCUAAGGUUUAAAUAAGACCUAAUCUCUUGAGAUGAAGGAUAAGUUUCUUGACCUAAGAAUCAAACACUCCACAGAAUGAAGAACAUACAAUUCAAAGACAUGAAUUGCAUAAAGGUCAAAAGGUUCUCAAACUAAGAGACUUAUCGUAAUAUGAUCUCUACUACCUAUUAAUGGGGCUUUAGAUGACUUCCCAACUAAACCUAUAAAUACCCAUCAUAAUCAUAGUAGAGAGACGAAAAAAACUCUGCUCGAUAAGCUCUAGAAAGGAUAGAAUUGACCACAAUAAGAUUGCAUCAAGAUUAUUAGAUAAAAUAUGAAUCAUAAUUUUAACUCCUUGACAAAUCUUAUCAAUUUAUUAGGUAAGGUUGAUAUGGCUGUGUGGGGUGUUGAAUCUGUAGUUGGGAGGGUUUAUUACAGUUUCAGAAAAGUGGUCAUUGAACAAAGGUGGUUGUGAUUAAGUUUUGAUAAAGUGGAUUACGGGGUAGCUUGCAUGUGGUUUUGAUGUUGUUAGAAGUGACUGGCAUUGUUGAGAACAAUUCGGUACAGGGUCUCCAGGGUAUGACUCUGCUUUAUGGUCACUUUUUCUCGGUAGUGAAUUUAGACAUAGUUAAUUUAUGGAUUUGAAGAGAGAGGAUUUGGUGAAAGUUAUCCAGUCUAGUACUUACUUUUUUAUUAUUAUUAUUCUUUUUAAUUAUUUUUAUUGAAAAGAGAGACAACGAGUUCACACCAAUUUACGUGGAAACCCGAGUACCGGGAGAAAAACCACAAUUGUUUGUGUUGUUAUUAUUUUCUAAUGAAUAAAGCAAUAGGUACAAGGGAGAAUAAAUAGAGUACACAAUGGAAUAAAAAAGGAAAAGAUUUAGGAAAAUAAGGAAUACAUUCCCAUAAUCUUUCCAUAAUUAUUCUAGGAUUCUAACAAGGAAAAAGCCUAGAAAAAAGGAAAGAAUUCCAACAAUUUUGUUGUCGUUGGCGUUGUUCUUGUUACUAAUCCUUUUUGUUUCUUUCCUUUUCCCUUUCUUUGGACAAAAGAAGACGAGUAGUUAUUCUUAUUUAUUAGUUUAGUUGCAAUUUUAAUCUUUGAUAUCAAAAUAUAUGUUAACUGCCAUGAGAUUAGAACGUUCUUGAAGUCAUGAGAUUUAAGUUUUGGUAGUAAGUGGAUGAUGGUUAAUAACUAUUUCAUUUCUCCCAUGAGAUGUGCGUAAAUUGGCUUACACAAAUAUCAGUAAAUACACACACACACACACAUAUACACAUUUCAGAUUUUAAGUUUUGGUUUUUCAUUUUUGAAAAAAUAAGGGUAUUUGACUAUCCCUAUAGUUUUCAGUUUCAAAACUUUGGAAUUUGAAAUGAAGUUUAAAGCUUAAAAAGACUUUUUAAUAUAUUCCCUACCAUAGCCAACCUCUGCUUUUAUCUCUCUCUACCACUUAUGUUUCUUUCUUUAACAUAUUCCCUCUCUCUCUGAACGUGCCCCUCUAUAAAAUUCUUCAUACUUCUUUACUUCUCAUGCUAUAACUUCUCUUUUCCCAUCUUACAUACAUUUCUCUUAAGUUUCUCUCCAACUUUUCUGAAAUUUCUUUCGAAUCCCUUCCAUCAAUCCUGGCAUUCCAAUUUAUCAUUUGUGUUGUUUCCACCAACGACCAACCAUGGGGUACAAGAACUCUGGAAAUUAAGCUGACUUAGACAUUCAUGAUUAUUAUCGUCUUUUUUAAACUCCCAUUUAUUUUAUUAUUCUUAUGACGUGAUAGUACAAGAGGAGGAUGUAUACAUUCAGGUUGCGCUCUUUUUUAUUGUCCUAUGCGAAUCAUGUUAUAAUUUUGAGCCUAUAUAUUCCCCAGGCAAGGUAUUUUGUAGAUGAGGUGAAGGACAAGAGUGGAAAAGAAAUUGACGUAAGUUCUUGGGCACAAGAAUUUGUAGAAGACCUUCCCGAACAAGAAAAUGGGUUUGUUACACAAACACCUUUUAAACUUAUAUUUCUUUUGCAUCUUUCAUUUAUAUUCUUUUUAUUCUGAAAAACAGUUCUUGAGAUGCUGUUGAUAGUAAAGUAAUUCAAAGUGAAAGUGUAUGUUCUUUUUUAUAUUUCUCCUUACAAUUCAUUCUAUUGAAACAGGUUUGAUUGUGGCAUGUUUAUGAUCAAGUAUGCUGAUUUUUAUAGUAGAGGUUUGAAUCUCUGUUUCAAGCAGGUAAAGAUUGUUGAAAGUUCGAGUUUCUGGUUUUCUAUAACAUCAAAAGUCAUUAUCUUUAGGAACCUCGAAUUGACCUAUAUUUCUAUUUUGGUGGAUUUUACCCAACUUUGUGGUCAUUUUCAACAAAACAUCAUAACAUUGCUUUAUUUACAAUGUUGUGACAAUUUGGAUUUGUGUAUGUUUCCUUUAAAUCUAAUGUGGGUAAAAAAAGUCGAUUAUCAAGAUUCUACUUCCUUUCUUGUAGGAACAUAUGCCUUACUUCCGUCUUAGAACAGCCAAGGAAAUUUUGAAAUUGAGAGCUAACUGAUAUGAGUGAAAGCGUCCGAGUAACCUGCUCAACCAACUAUGCACGCAAUUGCUCGAAAUUUUCUUCAUGAUGGCAGUUAUAGUUCUGAGAUUUUUUUGCAAAUUUUGAGUGGCAGCGGCUUUAGAUUGUACGUUUUGUAUCGGUUUCGAGUAUAUUACUGUAGAAGAAAGGUGGUUGAGUGCAGAAAGUGUGUGAGAACUUCCACUUCCAAGAACUAAUAAUGUGCUGAACCAUGUAAAUUUGGUAAGUUUAGAAAAGUAUAUUCACCCCCACGUAAAAGUGGUUUAGUGAGAUUCAUUACAAACUCUGUGUUAUCGAAUUAUUUAUCUUUUCUUUUUCUUUGUGUAUUAAGUUUGAUGUUUGUAGAGAUUAAAGAGUAACUGUAGAAGGAUAGGUCGCUCCUUCAAGCAAGGUUUGCUUUCUUUAUUUUCCCCCUCAAUGCCUUGGUCGUAAGACUAAGACAUGGUUCCAUUUCCUUCUCUUUCUUUUUUGGGAAAGAUUUAGAUUUUAUAUGAUCGAUCAGGUUUCUAGUGAUGAAUAAUAUAUACAAAGAUUUGAUGCCCAUUGCAAUAUUAUGACCUUCGAAAGUUUAGACCUAUGUCGUUCUCUUUUUUUUUCUUUCUUUUAUGAGUGCGAUUCAAUUUUGAAAAAUUUUAAACAUUUUUUUAAAAAUUGCAAAUGUAGUGAAGUAUUGAUAUUUGCAAAAUAAUUUAUUAACUUGAUAAGCUGUGUUAUAUUUUUGUAAUUUUUUAAAAAAAUAAUGUUUUUGUUUAUAUACGAUUCUAUUCUCUUUUAAGUUUACACUGACCAGCCAUUGUCUAUUUUUUAUAUAACUAUAUAUUUCUUUUUAACGAAAAAUACUCUUAUAUGAAUGCAUGGUUGAGUAUUACUCUUCGAUGAAACUGUUAGAUAUUGUUUUCUAUAACUCUUUUUCUAAAAUUCACUUCAUGAUGUUAACCUUACUUUUUAAAAGAAAAAACAAAAAUACUGUAAUCGUAAUUAUUAAUUCAACUUGUAGAAAUUUGUUUUAAUUUAGAUACAUAAACAAACAUUAGAGAUUUACCAUUUCAACAUAAAUAUUAAUUUUAAAUUGAUUUUAAAUAACUAAAAUAAAAAAGAGAAUUUUCGGAUUGAAAGUGCAUAGAAGAAGCCAAAAGGAUGCUUCGAAGCAAUCUGAUGUAAAAAUGAAAUGGCAACAAAAUGGAAGAAAACAAUAUCUUAACAUUUUCUUUCAAUUGAAAAUACUAGUCUUCUUACAUGUGAAAAAGAAUUGAACCCCCAUUUUGGCUGUUUUAGUAUGCAUUAAAUUCAAAUGGGAGCCUCGUUGUGAUCCUGGAAUGGAAAGGAAUGGUAGCUUGAACCUGCCAAACUAGGACGAUGGAUGAUAUGAAUACCAAACAACGAAAACAAAUGGUAUUUUCAUCGUUUAUCAUACAUAUUACAAUUACACAAUAAACAUUAUAAUUAUGUACCUCACGGUUACGGUUUGUUAGAAGGGGCUUGGGAAGUCGUAUAAAUGUAUGUGAAAGUGUUCACAAGAGAGGUCAGGGCAAAGAGGAGAAAGCAAAGCAAAUUCAAUUCCAAUCUCUUUUUCAAGCUCGAAAAUGUACAAAUCAAUUGAUUAAUGAUAUUAUGUAAUAUGAAAAGAGAAGAGAAUAAAGCAGAGGAGGAUACAGCUGAGGAGGAGUUGAAGACAUGAAAACAAACUCACACCCUUUUUAACGCGGUACUCUUUUUCGGCUCAGUAUCUCUUGUUCUUUAAGUCUAUGCUGGAACCUUGCAAGGCGUGCUUGAAGACUAACCAAACCAGCGGCCUUUCGAGACAGCACGAAACUCAACUGAGUCACGUAGUUCUCAAUGUGGCUUCCAGGUUGAUCCACUUCUGCCAACAGUUUCAUUUCCUGACAACCAACAACCACAAACACACAUCAUCAGUACACAUUGACCCUACCAACUAAGAGAAAGAGACCAACAAACUUGAUUUCAACAAGUUGGUGGUUCAAAAACACAUUUAAGUUGUCAUUUUUGAUUAAGUAAUAAUAGAUAAUGUUACAAGUUUAAUCUUUAGACUUCCCAAUAAACUAAACUUGUGCUUAAUAAAUCCAGAAGUUCAAAAAUUUCAAUCAGGUUAGGUGUCCUAAAAGAAUAAAAGGUCAUUAUCUUUUAAUUGAAUCUGCUAAGUUUCUAAAGCUUCGAUUUCGAAGGCAGUUUCUAAAGCUUCGAUUUCAAAGGCUAUAAUGUCUUGAAUUUUUAAGUCCCUAAAAUAUCAAAUGUCCUUUUUUAACAAAAAGAAACAAAGGGCAUCUUGGACAUUUUAAUAACUUAAUAAUGCAUUGGAUAAAAUUGAACAGUCAUAUCCUAUGAGGAGACAACUCAAUUAUGUCUAAUGUCUGUAUCUUAAAAAUCUCAAAUAAGUUGAAUACCAUUAGACAAAUUUGAGAGUGAGUUCCCUACUUUCAUGUUUAAAGGGAAAAUAGGGAACAAAAAAGCUUUUGGCUUUUUGUUUUUUCUAAAAAAGAAUCAGAAGGGACAGGGUUCCCAAAUCUAUUAUUAUAACGAAUCAAAUUUAACUACAAGUACUGGUAAUAAGAGAUUGGAAAUUUUUACUUACUUCUCGCACUAUCUCCAUGGUGUCCUCAAUUUCUUUUCGAUGAGCAGCGAUCAACGCCUCUUCUUCCUGCAACAAGGUAGAUAACACAGUCAAAAAAACCACCGAACUGGUGGAAGAGAUAGUGCAGUUAUUUUCUAUAAUGUGGUGAAAGACGAAGCUGCUUUCCUGGUAACUGAAUAUGCUUGCUGCAUAAGUGGAAAAAUAAAAGCAAAAAAACAUGCGCACAAACAGUCGGAUGUUAAGAGUAGCGAACCUCCAGUAUGGCAUUAAUAUUCCCAUCAGGAGUUGGCUCGGGUUCAGACUUUCUGAAUCCAGUAUCAUUUGCAUUAGAAAUUCCUGGACCAUACUGCUUGGAGCUUGCAGAUGAUACGUCAGGCACGACGCUAUCUUUCUUCUGCCAGCUCCCCGAUUUUUCUGAUUUUUCAUCUCGGGUUGAUUUUCUUCUGGGUGGUGAUACCUUUUGCACCUUCUCCUCUAUAUCAUUUAAGUUGCGGGAAUACAUGGGAAUCUUUCGACCCGUUGGAUCACUAUGAGUGCUCCUCAUUUCAGGUUGCUCCUUGUCGAAUGAUGCAGAAGUUACAGUUUCUCGUGCAUGAAAGCUAUUGCUUGAUGGCAAAGCAGUAGUUGGCAUGUCAAAGUUGGAAGAAGAGAGACUCUCUUUCUCAGCAACCCUUCUGCCCAAUUCCCCUAAUUUCACCUCUUGGCGCAGCAUAUUCGUAUCUUCUGCUUCAGUAGGAAUUGGAAUAGACGGGGCUGAAGAAACGUCUCUAGCUAUUGGUGCACUGGAACUAACAGCUGGAUCUUUUUUUGCAUUUCCACUUUUGGACAAACUUUUGACCCUGAUGUUAUUUGAUAGCAACUUAUAAGUUGAAUAUAUUGCUAAAUUUUGGAUGAUGCAAAGCCUAGGAUGUCAAAAAGCAUACCGGUCAGCAUAUCUCAAAGUGUUUAAAGUAUGUUCACAUGAACCAGCAUUUGGAGAAAUGCAUGAUAUCAUAACAGUUCUUGAAUUGCCAACAAAAGAAUCACGAAGCACUUCUGUGAGUUUGCUUCCACGGAAGGGUAUAUGAAUCUGAUCAUUGUCCAGGGCACGAAUGCAUUCCUUCAAAGCCAGAAGACUUUUGUUGAUUUCUGCUCCUUCAAUCCUGCAAAGGUUCCAGCAAAACAAAAUAGACAAAUUGCAGCAAAAUUAAAUCAGUGUACAAAAUUUAGUUGACGGGAAUAAACUUUUUGAUGACAGGAAUGUGUAUACAUAUAAGAAUAUCAGAAAAUAUAUUGAGUAGCAUCUUCUGUGAAACGCAAGAACUUCAGACUGGCUACCAGCCUACCAAAUAAAAUUCUUAGUGGAUGCACUAAAAAGACCAAAAUAAUUAACCAAGAUGGUACACUCAAUUCGAUCAGGCAGACAGUGACAUGCUUGGUAAACUCAUUGAUGGAAUGAUGGGUGACAUCUUUUACAACUGUGGAUAAAGAACCUUAACAAGAAGCAUAAGACCAAAGAUAUACGACAUCUGACAUACCUUGUCUGACGGUCAUUAUCGGUUGUAUCAGCACCUCUUUCACUACCAGCCAAAUCAAUAAAAGAGAUUUUCCCAACAAGCUUCCCACUCUUCAACUCAUUCCCGUCAUUGUUCCUUCUGGUUUCUUUAACUUCAGGAUGUUUCUUAAUAGCAAGUUGCAAUAUAGCAUGUGACCUUGAAGACUCCUCAUUGGCACCAGUGGAACCUGUACUCCUAGCU
RNAcentral lists this long non-coding RNA (49439 nucleotides) under Cucumis sativus (cucumber). Its description in RNAcentral is "long non-coding RNA (CSAT_LNC002367)". Lineage: Eukaryota; Viridiplantae; Streptophyta; Magnoliopsida; Cucurbitales; Cucurbitaceae. The record is from RNAcentral.